CAAGAUUUCUGCACUCACAUCUUGAAAUCCAAAUUCAAGAUUUUAAAGAAAUUUCUGAGCUCAAUCACUAUUAUGGCUUGGGCUGCUGUGACAUCUGCAGUGACAACAAUUGGCAACCUGCUAACUCAGGAAGCCAUAUACCUAUGGGGUGUGGAGGAGCAAGUUGAUCGUCUGCAAACAGAGCUCAAAUGGAUGCAAAGCUCCUUAAUGGAGGCAGAGACAAAACAAUCAACGGAUGAGAGGAUUCGUCUUUGGGUUGCUGAAAUCAGAGAGCUUGCUUAUGAUGCUGAGGAUGUUGUCGAGGAAUUUGCUCUCAAGAUUGGAUCCAAAAACAAAGGAGGUCUUCCGAGUUGUAUUAAAAGAUCAGCCUGCUGUUUGAAAGAGGGAUGGAUGCUCCACAAAACCAGGUCAAAAAUCGAGAAAAUCAUAGAAAGAAUCAACGACUUGGUCCGACGACUACAGGCCUACGGAGUAAAGGAAUUAAAGAACAGAGGAGAAGAAUCAAGUUCUUCAACUGAAAGACGAGAAUCAAGGCGGCCUUAUCCACAUAUUAUGGAUGAUAAUAUUGUUGGACUAGUUGAUGAUACCAAGGGGUUGGUCAAAGUUCUUACGAACGAAAGUGGAUGCAAGGUUGUUACAAUAUGGGGCAUGGGUGGUCUGGGAAAGACCACUCUCGCCAAGAAAAUAUAUCACCAUCGUCAGGUUAUUGAUUAUUUCGAUCACUUGGCUUUUGUAUAUGUUUCUCAACCAUGCCGGAAAAGAAAUGUUUGGGAAGACAUUCUAUCUGGUUUCAAAAUUUUAGAUGACAGGAAGAUAACAGAUGAAGCAUUAGCAGAGAAGUUGUGUAAAACUUUGGAGGAUAAAAAGUGUCUGGUGAUACUUGAUGAUGUUUGGACCAGUGAAGCUUGGGAUAGUCUAAAACCUGCCUUUCCAGUUGCAACGGGCCGUGAUAGCACUAGCAAGAUAUUGCUCACCUCUAGAAACAAGGGGAUAGUUUCAGAUGCUGACAUAAGAGGUAAAAUUUUCUUAAUUAGGUAAAGUUGAAUACUCUUAUUCCUUUUAUGGAAAAUAAGAGGUAAAAUUUUCUUAAUUAGGUAAAGUUGAAUACUCUUAUUCCUUUUAUGGAAAAUAACUAUGUAUAUUAUUUCAGAGUUGAAGUGCCUAAACGAUCAACAAAGUUGGGAAUUGUUUCAAAAGAUUGUAUUUCCUCAAACAGGUAAAUAUACAUAUAGCAAAAUUCUUGUUAUAUGCUAAAUUUAUUUUUCAUUUUUAAACUUUUUUGACAAUAAUUAAAAUUAAAAAUAUAUAAAAUCUAUUUUAUUUAAAAAUUUCAAAACCUUAAUAUGAAAUAAAUAAAAGAAAUCAAGGUUUUGGGGUUUAUCAAUUAAUGGUACACGCAUGCAAAUAUAAUUAAUAGGUAAAUUCAUUAUCUUUUAUAUUAUAAUUUUUUAAUAACUUGCUAUCACUUACCGGGAAUAAAUUAUAUUAGGAUCAUCUUAAAAAAUAUAAUUUUUAGGCACCAACAAAAUAAUGUCACAUGUUAAAUUUUUAAGAUAACAAAGAAUUAUUGUACACUCAUUUGUAUUUAAUAUUUUCUCCAACUUAAUUUAACUUUAAUUAAAUUAUUUAAAAUAAUUAAUUUUUUAAAUUAUAAACAAACAUCUUUUCUUCUUUUACAAGUUUUAAUCAUUUUGUUUUUUUCAUAAGUUAAAAAUUUUUAUUUUUGUGCAACCAAUUUUUAAAAAAUAGUAAUUUUUGUGUAAUAUUUUUCAUGUCAUUGAACAUAAAUUUGAUAAUUAUUUUAUCCUGAACCCAAAACCCCGAACCUUGAACUCGNNNNNNNNNNNNNNNNNNNNNNNNNNNNNNNNNNNNNNNNNNNNNNNNNNNNNNNNNNNNNNNNNNNNNNNNNNNNNNNNNNNNNNNNNNNNNNNNNNNNAACCCCGAAUCUCAUAGUUUAAGGUUUGGAUUUGAGAUUUAAAGUUCAGAAUUCGAGGUUCAAGUUUAAAGUUCAAAGGUUCAGGGUUAUGGGUUACGAGUUUAGGUUAUGGUUCAAGGGUUUGGGGUUGCAAGCUUGAAAUUUUAUGUUUUGGAUCUAGGGUUUAGGAUUAUAGAUUCAAGGUAAAAAAAUUACCAAAAUUAUGUGUCAAUGACAUGGAAAAAAUUGUUGAAAUGUUGUUAAAUAAUUGGAAAGGGACCAUGAAUAAUGUGAUCAGAAGAGUCCAUAAAAUAAUUUCUCUAUGGAUGAGUGUAUAAUAAUUCAUGUCUUUAAAAUUUGAAAAUGUGACAAAAAAAUUUUUAAUUUUUAGGAUCAUUCUAAUGUAAAUUAUUACCUUAUCUUAAUUAUUGGACUAUAUGUUUGUUUAGUUUCUUAAGCACUUUCAUGGUAUUCUUUUAUAUGUUUAUCCUGGAUCCUUGCAUCAGAAAGAUGGAGGCGCAGGUAAACCAUUGUUAUCAAGAGUAAAGCCCAAGAAAGAUGUAGUUGAUUUGAACAACCAGCACAUCUCUUUACGACCCUAUUUAGCAAACCAAUCCGCUAACCUAUUGGCUUCUCGUCUGAUAACAUUGACUUUCAAAGAAGAAAGUUGCAUGACCAGCUUAUCAAAAACCUGAAGGACUAGCCUUAAUCUCCAUCUUCGAUCUUGACUUUUCUUCUUAAUAUUAGAAGCAAUAGUCUGGGAGUCAGUCUUGAUUGUCACAUUGGUCCAUUUUUUCUUCAUAGCUAAUUCAAUCCAUCCAACCAUAGCUUUAGCCUCGACAACCUCACAUGAAUCCACUUAAUCCUUUUACCAAUCCCAUCCAGAAUCUUCCCACUUAAAUUUCUGCCUAUUUCUCUAAUACCAACACAAGCUAUUAAGGUGUCGAAUGCCCCAUCACAAUUAACUUUAACCCAACCUUGUGGUGGUUUCUCCCAAAUAUCAGCACAAGUAUUUGACUUCCUAGUUCGAUCAGAGUUAUUGUUUGAACAGAGGAUCCAUUGAGCAGAUAAGAAUUCAUUCAUGGAGCAAUUAAUCCUUCGAAUAAUUCUCUCCAAACCAAGUUUCACACCUCCAAUUGUAACCUCACACCUAGCUUUGUAACAACUUUGAGAACCAUCUGUCAAAUGAUUGAGUUUGAUCAUUUAGCCCUUGAAGACCAAAACAAGCCUCAUACUAUAUUCCCCUAACCCAAUUACAACUAAGAAAAAUAUGUUCAAAGUCUCAUCUUCAAUACCACAUAAACAACAAAUUGGGUUCGAAACAUACUUUCUUUUCCACGGAUUAAAACGAGAUGGAAUAGCAUUAUGACACAAUUUCCAUAAGAAAACUUUAAAUUUGUUCGGUACCUGUAAGCUCCAAAUAGCUUUCCAAGUGCUCCUAUCAAUUAAGUGAGAGCUGGAAGGUUGUAAAGAAGACUCAUUUCCAUAGUGCUUUCUCAACUUCUUGUACCCUGACUUCAUCGAAUAUUGAUCAACAGCUGUAAAUGGCCACACCAAUUUAUCUUGCUCAUCUGUUUCACGAAGAGGAACUUUUAAUUUCCCAAUUUCAAUAUCUUCUAACCACAUUGAAAUACUGGGUAAGUCCCAAUUUAGUUCUUCUAAACAAAUGAUCUCAGCAACUCUUGUUGGUAAGGAUCCGUCAAUACUUCUAGGAUGCUUUUGUUUCCUAUCUUUUAACUCCCAGCAACCAUCUAUCUUCCCAAAUGUGGAUGCUUUCGCCAUUUAGCACUUGCCAAAUCAAAGUCUCCUUUUAAAAACGCUUUCCCUUCAAGAAUGCUACUCCACACCCAUGAUGACCUAGCUUCCUUUUUAGCUUCAAGUAAACUAGAAUUCGGGGAAAAAAGUCCUUUUAAAAUCCUAGCCCAAAGAGCAUCAGGAUCCUGGACUAACUGUCAAGAUUGUUUUGCAAGUAGAGGAAGUCCUCCAAGCUUUUCAAUGGAUACGUCUCUCAUUUUCCUUCUGCUGAAUUCAUUUCCACGCAUAAGUUUUUAGGAAAUUCGAAAAGAUAUCGUAUACAUUGAAGCGCAUGCUACUGCUUUAAUAAGAACCUCCCUUCCCCUUCAAGAUAACGUUUGCUGCUUUCAGCCCUUAAGUUUGGUAAGGACCUUUAUAUAUAUAUAUAUAUGGUUAAAGUAAGGACCUUAUCUUUGAUAUGCCUCAAAGUUAAUGUUUUCGAAAGCCCCCACAAAGAAGGGACACCCAAGUAGGCGUCCGAAUUAUUUGCCACCUCUAAGUUAGUCUCUUCUUGAAUCAACCUUUCGUUGUCCCUUUGGGAGUAUUCACACUAAAAACGUUGCUUGAUUUAUCAUAGUUGACCCUUCGUCCAGAAGCUGCACAAUAUUCUUGAAUCAAGUUAAUCAUUCUCCUACAAUUUAACGAACUAGCGUCCAAAAAGAAUAGAAAUCGUUCGUGAAUAACAAAUGUGACACUACUGGAUAAUGACUACUAAGGCUAAUCCCAGAAAUAAAACUAGACUCGACUCUAUUAAUAAUCACUACCCCUAGAACUCCUUUCAAUAUUCACCAUGAUCUUCGAUAUGAUUUAAUACUUAAAAUUACAAGGACUAAUUGACCUAAAUUAUGUCAUUAAUUCAAGACAUUUAGUUUUCAGAAUUAAAAUUAUCUCAAUCUCGUUCGAAAAUUUCCCUUCCCUUAAUAGCUUCCAAAACAUUCUUUUUAAUAAUUUCCCAAUAAUUAUGAUAGAAAAUCCCGUUAAAAUCAUCCACAAAAAAAGAGAUUAAUUUAAUUGUUUUGUAUGCUUAACUUGUACAAUAUAAGUAAAAUCUUAUAAUUUUAUCUCCAAAUUCUCUCAACACAUCUUUCUGACCCUUAUUUAUAAUCUCAUUUGUAUCAACAGGAUAUCCAAUUUAAAAUUACAUAAUCUUUUUUAUAUAAUUCUUUAAAUAUUAAAAGUAUUUUCCUCUAUUAUUUUUUUUGUUGGAGUAUUAAAUAUUAGCCUUAAAACCAUAAGGCAUGAAUUCCAAACAACCCUUAAAAAGAUAUGUAAAUUUUGUUUUUGAAUAUCAUUUUUUCUUUUUUAGAUUUCAAAUUGGAUAGUGAAUUAUCUAUUUAUUUAUUCGAAACUCCUCUUAAAUUAAUGAGAUUGAAGUUUCUUAUUUAGUAUUGAUUGUUCCAUAAAGUAUUCAAAGUUUUCAAAUAGAUUUAUUUUUUCAAGUGUAGUUAAUAACGGCAAUAAAAAUUAAACUUUAUAAGUGAUAAAUUUAUAUUAAAAAUUGUUUGAUAAAUUCAUAAAAUAUAAGUUUGGGUUCAUCUACUUUUACAUUUCUUUUACCUAUUUAAAUUAUUUCUUAAUUUUCAUUUUUUUAAAAAAAUUAUUCUUAAUUUUUUAUACAGGAAAUAUAAUCGACGUGGAAAUGAAAAAGUUAGGAGAGAACAUGGUUAAAGAUUGUGCAGGGCUUCCAUUAGCCAUUGUUGUAUUGGGAGGAAUUUUGGCUACAAAGAAUAAUUCAUUAAACGAAUGGCAAAAGAUAUCUGACAAUUUAAAAUCAUACUUGAAGAGAGGCAAAAAUCAAGGACCAGAGGAUGUGUUAGCAUUAAGUUAUGAUGAUUUGCCUCCCUAUCUAAGACCAUGUUUCCUCUAUCUAAGCCUUUUUCCGGAGGAUUAUAUGAUAGAUGUGGAUAGAUUGAUUCAAUUAUGGGUUGCUGAAGGUAUUGUGUCAUCAAAGCAAGAAGAAAGAGACGGUGGGGAAAUUGCGGAAGAUGUGGCGGAAUCUUAUUUAAUGGAGCUUGUGGAAAGGUGCAUGAUUCAAGUACGAGAAAGAGAUGUGGCAACCUUAAAGGUCAAAACAAUUCAGAUGCAUGAUCUGAUGAGAGAUCUUUGCUUAUCAAAGGCAAAACAAGAAAAUUUUGUCUUCAUUGUCGAUCAAUCAAAUGCAUCUUCAUUAUCUAUGAUUCGGAAGGUCCGUAGGGUUUCUGUGCAUGAGUUUUUUUUUCAUACAAUGCAUUAAAAGUCCAAAUAUUCGGUCACUUUUGUUCUUCAAUGAGUUCUUUCCGGAGGAGGAAUUAGACAAAUCUUUUCCCUUGGAAGUGUUGAAUUCACUGUAUUUGAUUCUUAUGAUUUCGCGAGCUGGUAUGGGACUCCUUAAAAUUCGGGGAAUUUAGAGAUACAUGUUCAACAACUUCCAAUUGCUAAGAGCCCUAAACUAUGAGAGAACAACAGGUGAUCGUUUUGCAGGGUUUAAGUUACCUAGUGAUAUAGGUAAUCUCAUCCAUUUAAGAUUCUUGAGUCUAAAGGAUCUUGAGUUCUUAUGGCCAAAGUUGCCAUCAUCUCUAGGAAACUUAAGGUGCUUGCAAACCUUGGAUUUAAGAGUUGAUCGUGACAAAAUUCAUGUACCUAAUGUGAUAUGGAGGAUGGAGCAACUAAGACAUUUAUAUCUCCCUUCGAGAUGUGAAAGCAGUACUAAGUUGAAGUUGGGUACUUUGAGAAAACUCCUAACACUUGUGAACUUCAACACCAAGAAUUGUUAUCUGAAGGAUCUUAUCAACAUGACAAAUCUUAGAGAGUUGGGGAUAAAUUUGCCCUUCAAUAUUGAAAAUUUCAAUGAGGAGUUGGGCGAGAAUCCACCCAUAAUCGGAAGUAAAUAUCUUCAUUCCUUGUCUAUUAUUACCUCUGGGUACGAAUCAAUAGAUCCAAGACAUUUGGCCCAUCUCCUUUCAAAUUGUACAAGUAUUUGCAAGUUGAGUAUAGCAGCAGAGAUAAGUAAGUUACCAGAGUAUCACUACUUCUCUUCACAUCUCACUUACNNNNNNNNNNNNNNNNNNNNNNNNNNNNNNNNNNNNNNNNNNNNNNNNNNNNNNNNNNNNNNNNNNNNNNNNNNNNNNNNNNNNNNNNNNNNNNNNNNNNNNNNNNNNNNNNNNNNNNNNNNNNNNNNNNNNNNNNNNNNNNNNNNNNNNNNNNNNNNNNNNNNNNNNNNNNNNNNNNNNNNNNNNNNNNNNNNNNNNNNNNNNCUCUUCAGCGAUUGGAUAUCAGGCAUUGCCCAAGCUUGAAGAUGCUUCCAGAGGGAUUGAGCUCCAUUACAACCCUCAAAGAACUGAAGAUUGAAUCAAUGCCAAAGGCAUUCAAAGAAAGAUUGGAGAAAGGAGGAGAAGAUUUCUACAAAGUCGAACAUGUUCCUUCUAUCAUAUUCCAAAACAUCUGGUAGAUUGACUGAUAAUUGAGAGGUAAUUUCAUAACCUCUAGUUUAGGAAAUGAUUCCUACUUUCUUUGCUUCUUAUAUAUCUUUCGUUUUUGACAUUGUCUCACAUUCUCACUCCAUUUGUCAACACACCAAUGAAUAAUUACAUUUAUUAAAAGUUAAAGGAAGUCGGACAUUGAUCUUUUUAGUUUUGCUUUUCAGGUAAAGACGCCAUUUUUUCACCAGCUACUGCUAUUCACGGGAUCAAAUCUAGAUUUAAAACUCCUAUUAUAAGUGGCGUGUGAAAGUGUGUUAUAUUGUGAGAUUUGGAAUUAUCUUCUCGCUUGUUGACAUCAGACUGGUUGAAUGUUUGUUAUUUUCUUCAAAUUACAAUAAAAAGGUUGCAAGAUAAGGUACGGGAAGAAAGGGAGGUGUCUGGAUUAGCAAGGUACCAAACCCACAUAGCUUUGGUUUACGAUCACCAUUCCUAUCUUUAUUUGUUAGCUUUGCUUUCUCUUUUUAUUUUUUUCUUUUUUUAUCUGUACUUAAUGUAAUAUUAGAAGAGAAGGCAGGACCAUGCUUUUCUAGUUCCAUUGUAAAAUUCAUCACUUCGUUGUCAAUGUUCAUUUCUACUCUUCAGUUUUACUUAAAUAUAAUUGUUUGAUAUAUAUAUAUAUUUAUAUAUAUAUAUAUAUUUGAAUAUGGAUACACGAUAAGAGAAUAUAAUAUUUUUAAUAUUUUCUGUCAUCCUUAACUCAAUAAUCUUUGUUAAGAUAUUAUACCAGGUUCAAUGGUUGCACUUCAUCCCACACUUUCAAAGCAAAAAAUAGGAAAAAUUAAAUAUUACCAACUAAUAACACUUCCAAAUUACAUUGUCUUACAAAAAAAAAAAAGAUACAAUUUGAAUUUUUUUAUCAACAUUUGAUGGUUUAGCAAGCUAUGCUUUAUAAAAGGCAAAGGAAUCUAAGGGAAAAAAAGAUUCCAAUUCAAGAUUUUGUAUCCCCAUGCUUUGCUUCUUAUAUCUACCAACAAUAUCUUGAUGAUAAUAAACUAAAAAAAAAAAAAAAUUCAAGGGAAUCAAAGAUUUCAAAUCCAACUUAAUCGAUUGAAAAUUUCACAUCCACUUAAUUAUUUCAAAUGAUAUUUAUUCAAUAAGUUUAAAUCAAAAACCACAAGAAUCCCCAUUUAUCUUUUAUUCAAAAUGUAAAUCGGAUUCAAUGAAAAUAUUGAACAUAUAAUGUGUGCACAUGGAAAUGUCCAAAUCUUUAAAUAUAGGGUCGACAUGGGAGAAAUCUCCUAAAGAUUUAUAAAAUUCAAUAUGAUCCUAUUAUUUUCGUUAUAAAACUCAAUAUCUUAUUCGGAUUAGGAUACGAGCGAAUAACAGAUAACUAUUUGUAGUUCAAGGUGUGAUAAAAUCUCAGUAGCUAAGAUAUGAAUGUUGCAAAAUACCAUACAAAAUCACAGCCACAUUUGUUAGUAUGACUAUUUUGGGUAAUCAAAGGAAAAAAAUGUUAGCUGUUGAGCAAACAAGGUGAACAGAUUAGAUAUUCCAAUUACGUUCAAGCACUUGACAAAUCCUUUCUGCAAUGGCUUCAGCACGCAUCCUAGGACCUUCAUCAGCUGCAAAAACCGACCAUUUCUAACAACUAAGCUAACAUCACACAUGAUAAUAUAUGUAUAUAACUUAUAUAGAAGAUGAUUAUGUGGAUUAAAAGCUAUGCUAGUUUGACUCAAUACAUGACCAUGGGACAUGCUCGAUUCAUCAAUAACGAUAUGAAAAUACUUGGAAGAAAAAUUAAAUACAUCAAUAUCUAACAUUUACAUCUGAGUUCGAGUAAAGAAAACAUGUCAUUCAAUCUAAACAUGCAAAAUAUCCAAAACUCUUGAUGAGUGUUAGAUAAAAAUAUGUAGAAUGUACCCAAAAUACCCAUCUCGAACUCAGUAGAGAAAUAUCUAGCACUCAAAAGACACUACCUUCAACCAAGAACAAGCAAGUUUCUUCAAAGGCUUGAUAUACUUUCUUCACAGCCAUAUAUAUGUUCAUAUACCCAUAUUAAGGAUGAUUGUUUUGGCAAAGAGGAUGAAAAGAUAGAAAGAAAACCUUUAAUCCAAUGACAAUAUUUGAUUAUAACAACAUGACACAUAUAAUUGUGAUUAAAAUUGCGGUCACAAAUACGUUUGCAAUCACAUCAUGUUAAUGAAUACUAUUGCAAUCAAUUGCAAUAAAUAUCCACAACAACACGAGCCACAAUCCUAAAACAACAAAGAUAAUACAUUACAGCUGUUAAGGAAUUUUCAAUAACGUAUAUACCUGCAAGAUUUUCAGUGAUGACACAAUAAAAUUCACCACCAGACAACUUCCCAAUCUAAUGAAAUUUUCAAACAUAUCAUGUCAUAAGUUUCAAGAUCAACUGAAACAUGCGGAUACCAAGUAUGAUAAGAAAUUAAAUUAAGGAUUUUCUACUGCAAACCUACCACGAAAACAUAAUUUUUAUUAGGAUCAAAGGCAUAGCCCAUCAUGGCAGCAUUAUUGAGUCCAUUUUCAGAGGAAAAUCCUGAAACAUGUUACAGGCAAAUAUUAAGAAAAACAACGCACAAGCAUAAGUAUAAAAAACCUAGCAUGUAAGAAAUCAAUACUUGAAAGGACUAAAAUCACUGCUAACCUAAGACAUUGAAUCUAGCACCACUAGGAAACAUCCGAAAUGAUACUUGUCUUUCAAUGUUGAGAUACAUAGGUCCAAGUCUGCCAUGUUGCGCCAAACGGGAAUUCAUCAACCUCUUGAGAACCUAAAGGAUGAAAAGUUCCAGUCCAAGUUAUAUAUAUACAGACACACACACAGAUAGACAUGAAGAAAGUGGGUUAAUGGUGUAUUAUUUAAGUAAAGAAAAAGUUGAAAUCUUGAACCUCUAAAUAUUGGGUAACAGCGAGUGUUAAAAGUGCAUAAAGUUCUGCUAUUAUCUACAAGAAACAAUGGAGGAAUCACAUACAUUGUUUAUAUUCACUUUUGUUGCUACACAAGCAAGCUGAGUCCAUAAACAAAGGCAUAUCUUUUUCUCCGUUUUUAAAUGGUUUUCUUGUUUUUCGGCUGCUUUUUAUAUUAAGAGACAGAGAUUGUGAGACCUCGUCAUUCUCAAGGAGAAAGUGGUCAAGCAUGAAGAUGAUGGGAAGACCACGAGUCGAUGGUGGUCGAUCCAUGAGUUGAUUAUGAAUAGUUUCAUGUUAUUAAAUAAAAAUGUUAGCUAAAGUUAGUCGAACGCUGUGUUUUAGGGCCGAGGGUUUAAUGAAACUAUAAGUUUUGAUGUUGAAUAAAAAUGGUGCGUAUUGACUGUUUGUUACAGCUGCUCGAGGAACAGCCCUAUAACAGACUUUGUAGCUGCCAAUUCUCAGCCAUAAUAGAAACUGGCAUGGGAAAUGAGCAGAUAUGCCAUUUUGUGAAGGAAAUCAAUUCUUUCUUCUUCCUCGAUUCUCUUUCUCUUCUCUCUUUUUCUUUCUUCCUCUAUUCUGUUGAAAUUAUGCAUCACUUCACCAGCAUUCAUCAUUGUGGACGUAUCUGAUCUUCAGUCUCUGGUUUACUGCCCAUGUAAAGUUAUGGAAAGGAAUGCAAAUUUAAAAGGUUUUCUUGCUAUAGUCUAUGCAAUUUCAUGUGUGGGUGAAAGGAGAUGAAGAUUAAUAGAGUAAUAUUGAUAUACCAACAAUUCAUUAAUUGAAGUACUAUCAAUAUUAUCAACAAGUAACAGAAUUAAGUGAGUACACUAAUAUAGUCUAGAAAAACAAUUUAAUUAAUAAUACCAUAGGGAUGGCAACGGGGUUAAGUUGCUAUUGCUAUUCAUAUCCCUGCCGCUAGCUUUUGACGACUUCACCAAGUAAACUGCAAUCACAAUUGUUGUUCUUAUUACCUGCAAAAACACAGCCAACAAUCUGAAUCCAUAUCCCCAUUUUAGGAACAAAUGCAUGGUGUACCAUUUGUUUCGAAGCCAAAUCAAUUUUCUUAUUUUUUCUUGAAGUAAAACCUUAUCUGACACUUAUAUUCAACACAUAUUCAUGUAUUGGUAUGAAGAUAUGACACUCUUAUCCUAUACUCGUAUCCGUGCUCAGGUAACAUAAGCUGAACCCGCAAGAUAACUGAUUUAACAUCGCAUUGCUGCUAGCUAUUGAUGAUUCCACCAAGUAAACUGCAAUCACAAGUGUUGUUCUUAUUCCUUGCAAAAACACAGUCAACAAUCUGAAUCCACAUUCCCAUUUUCGGAACAAAACCAUGGCGUACCAUUUGUUUCAAAGCCCAAUCAACUUCCUUUACCAUCUUCCCCUUACAAAAACCAUGAAUCAACUUCUUGUAUGAAUCAAAACUAGGAUUAACCCUCUCGAAAACCAUUCUCCCUAUAAUCUCCUUUGCUUCCAUAAACCUCGCAGCAUCAAGCAAACCGUACAACACCUCUUGAUAAGACCCUGCAUUGGGAUAACACCCUUUCUUUUUCAUAAUUUCCAACAGCUUCACACCUUCAUCAGUCCUACCUUGUUUCCUAAGACCUGAGAUCAAGAUAUUAAAGCUAACAGCAUCAGCAUCGAUUCCUUCCGUUUCCAUCCUCCCCAUCAACUCAAAAGCUUCAUCAACCUUCCCCUUAUCGCACAACCCGUGCAUUAAAGUAGAAUAAGUUCUAACAUUAGGCUUACACCUUUGUUUAGGAAAUUCAUCGAGCAGUUGGAAUGCAAACUCUAAUUUCCCAUUUUCACACAACCCUUUAAUGAGAAUAUUCAGAGUACAAGCUUCGAUUUCAACACCCAAAUUGGGAGCUUUCCCAUAAACCUCGUGAACAACAUCAAAUAGUUUGUUCGAUACGAGUAAGCUCAAUACGAUAUUGAAGGUUUUAACACUAGGCCAAGUCCCAUAUUCUGGCAUGCUAAAAAGGAUCUCGAUUGCCCUUUUGAUUCGACCUCCGACAUGCCCAUACUUUUUAAUCACAUGCUGGAAGAAUUCAUCGGAUAAACGACAGGCUUUUUCACGUUUGAGCUUUUCCAUUAUAUUUUCAAUGGAAUCAAAAUCCUGGGCAUAUGCGAGCUUGUUGAUGAGCAAAGUGAAGAGAGGUUCAGUUGGUUUAUAAUCCUUGCGAGCUGAGUAUUGGGCUAGGACUGAAAUGAGAGAGUUUGGAUCUUUAAGAUUGUCAAAGAUUUUGAGGAUUUCGGUCGGGGAGAGCCAGUCUUUGUGGGUUAGUUUGAAAAGGGGAGGGGAAGUGGUGUGGGUUGGUUGAUGGUAGCUGGAAAGUGAGGAGAAAAACGAAAGGGAUUUAAGAGAUGAGAUUUUAGUGGUCAUUGGAUGUUGAAAAAGUGAGGGAAAAUUUUGGGGGUAAGAGCUUUUGACAGAAGAAAGAAGGGAACGUGAAAUCAUGCGUUUGGCCAUUGGAGAAUGUAGAAACUGGAGAGCUAAAAGCUUUGUGCUAUUCGCACUAUAAACAUAUAUAGGGUAAGGGACAGGCUUAAUACUUGUUUUGUCCCCUGUAAUAUAGUAAAAAAUCUCAUUUUGACCCUUUUCCUUUACUUUGUCUGUUUACUUUCAUUUCGUCCAUUGCCUGCUUACUUUCAUUUCGUCCAUCAUGUUAGUCUAUUGAUCAUUUCCGUAAAUCCCAUGUGUUAGGGUUCCUAUAUUAUAGUAUUCAUCCAUAUACUUUAACCCUCCACGUAGUCGCAAUCAAUUGGCUUAAAUGAUCGAGGAUCACUAUAGUAUAAGGACCAAACGUAAACAUGCACUAAUUUUUUUAUACAGAAAUGGUCAAAGGAUUAAAGUGAUAGAUGAAAUGAAAGUAAAGGGCGCAAAGUGAUUGGAAAAGUAGUAAAAUGUUGGAAAAUAUUAAGAGAUUGUAUGAUGCAAAACUUAAAUAAUUUAUCUACUGAAAUUUUGAGGUGUAUUAUUUCGAAGUAAUGAAUCAUUGUUAUUUACAACUAUAUAUUAUAUCUCUUUGAAAUGUACAAAUANNNNNNNNNNNNNNNNNNNNNNNNNNNNNNNNNNNNNNNNNNNNNNNNNNNNNNNNNNNNNNNNNNNNNNNNNNNNNNNNNNNNNNNNNNNNNNNNNNNNCUUCUUCUUCCCUUCAAGAAUUGGUUGGAUUUGGAGGUGCCUAUUGAAAGCCUGGUUGAAAAGGAAUCGAGUUUGGAAUGCCGAAAUGAUCGGAAGCCAUGCCAAUAUAGCAAUUGGAGAGAAAAGGAUCGAUCCCAUUCCGUAAUCAUAUGCCUUAGCUAGUACCUCAGUGAACUGCCAGAGUCCGGUGUUCUCAGUAAUUGGCCUCACAGCUUGAGCAACCUGAAGGGAACUAAAAUGUCAGAGGGAAUAAGGCAAAAGAUGCAAACUCUAGACAAAUACUAUAUGCUGGUCCUCUAAAUAUAUGAACAAAUUUAGAAAAGAACUUGGGUAUGCCCGUAUUUGAUACUUAUUCUUGAAUUCGAGUAACAUAGUCAACUAGACAUACCAAAAUCAGACCCCAUCCAGUCGGCAGAAAUGCAAGACAGCAGACAAGUAAAUCCUUGGACGACAGUUCACAGAUGACUGAGAGAGUGAUAACAAUGGCGAAAACACUUAGGAAGAGGAAUGCUUUAAAGAACCUAAACAUCAGAUGGUAACGAGCACUGAAGAGUUGCCUUCCAACGUUCACUGCCUGUAUGUCAUGUAGAGAUCAAGUUAUCCGUGCAGAAAAUUCAAGGCUACUUCGGAAUUUUCAAAAUAGAACUCAAUAUACUUGAGUAUUAUGAUACUUGAAUGAAUUUUACCUUGACCGUCAGGAAAACUGCAAGAAUCACAACCCAGGAAAGCAUAUAAACAAGGAAAUUUUUGCUCUGUUGGGAGAUGUCAAGAUGAUACACCAAGCCAUACUGAUACAAGAAAAACCGAAUCGAAAGAAGAAUUUCGAACAAUCUAGCACCAUAUCCUGAACGACGAAGGUGAGCUUGUUCAUCAUUCCACCAAGAUUGCCAACUCUUGUUUUGCUGAAUCCCAAUACCACCUUUCUCCUUGAUCCACUUAUUCCAGCCUUUCCAAUCAUCUACAAUCUUGUCCCAAUCGAACCCGGAAGGAUUAAACAAAAAUGGUGCAAAUAACCAAGUCAUGGUCAUGAACCAAACAGAGUACGUGAUUAAUACAUAUGCCAUGCUACUCUGGUAGGACCUCCGGAACAAAUCGUAAACCACUAACAGGAGCAACAGUUCAAAUCCUUUAACAAAGUGGCUUCGUGAAUACAAUCUGUAGUUCUCAGUAAAGCUGGCAUGAAACACCACAACCUUACGUCCGGUAGGUAUAUACUUAGCUCCGCCAUACAUAAUUGUCCGACCAAAAUGAUGGGUUUUUGUCCCAAGGGAAAAAGUGAAGAAAACAGCAGCAAACUGCAGUUGCAUAAGAACAAAAUCUUUAAGGGCCGUAAGAAAUCCCUUCUCAAGUCCGAUCUCCAUUACCAUCGGUAAGCCAGUUAAAAGACCAAGCUGAAUAAACGAUUGAGAAGCAAGAGCAGUUUCCAAUGAUUCAGUGUUUUUCAUUCUAGCCUCAAUGAGGAGUGCCUUUUCUAGUCCACUAAGAACAAGGUAUAGUUGUCCGUAGAGGAACACAUAAAUUCCGAGUACAGAAAUCUGGUUUUUUACAGAUCAUAAGACGGGAAAGGCAAAAAUCAGAAAAGCAUCAUACAGAGAUAAAUAGGAAUCGGAUCAGGUAACCUUGUUUAGUGUGAGAGAAUUACCAGGCUGCUGAAGUAAAAUCCAAUGGUUGUGAAAUAGCAAGAUAGCAUCCUAAAANNNNNNNNNNNNNNNNNNNNNNNNNNNNNNNNNNNNNNNNNNNNNNNNNNNNNNNNNNNNNNNNNNNNNNNNNNNNNNNNNNNNNNNNNNNNNNNNNNNNNNNNNNNNNNNNNNNNNNNNNNNNNNNNNNNNNNNNNNNNNNNNNNNNNNNNNNNNNNNNNNNNNNNNNNNNNNNNNNNNNNNNNNNNNNNNNNNNNNNNNNNNNNNNNNNNNNNNNNNNNNNNNNNNNNNNNNNNNNNNNNNNNNNNNNNNNNNNNNNNNNNNNNNNNNNNNNNNNNNNNNNNNNNNNNNNNNNNNNNNNNNNNNNNNNNNNNNNNNNNNNNNNNNNNNNNNNNNNNNNNNNNNNNNNNNNNNNNNNNNNNNNNNNNNNNNNNNNNNNNNNNNNNNNNNNNNNNNNNNNNNNNNNNNNNNNNNNNNNNNNNNNNNNNNNNNNNNNNNNNNNNNNNNNNNNNNNNNNNNNNNNNNNNNNNNNNNNNNNNNNNNNNNNNNNNNNNNNNNNNNNNNNNNNNNNNNNNNNNNNNNNNNNNNNNNNNNNNNNNNNNNNNNNNNNNNNNNNNNNNNNNNNNNNNNNNNNNNNNNNNNNNNNNNNNNNNNNNNNNNNNNNNNNNNNNNNNNNNNNNNNNNNNNNNNNNNNNNNNNNNNNNNNNNNNNNNNNNNNNNNNAAGGUCCUUACCAAACUUAAGGGCUGAAAGCAGCAAACGUUAUCUUGAAGGGGAAGGGAGGUUCUUAUUAAAGCAGUAGCAUGCGCUUCAAUGUAUACGAUAUCUUUUCGAAUUUCCUAAAAACUUAUGCGUGGAAAUGAAUUCAGCUUUGCAUCAGGAUCCUGAUCCAGAAUAUUGUGCAGCUUCUGGACGAAGGGUCAACUAUGAUAAAAACAAGUAGGACUAACUAGCCCAAAGAGCAUCAGGAUCCUGGACUAACUGUCAAGAUUGUUUUGCAAGUAGAGGAAGUCCUCCAAGCUUUUCAAUGGAUACGUCUCUCAUUUUCCUUCUGCUGAAUUCAUUUCCACGCAUAAGUUUUUAGGAAAUUCGAAAAGAUAUCGUAUACAUUGAAGCGCAUGCUACUGCUUUAAUAAGAACCUCCAUUCCCCUUCAAGAUAACGUUUGCUGCUUUCAGCCCUUAAGUUUGGUAAGGACCUUUAUAUAUAUAUAUAUAUGGUUAAAGUAAGGACCUUAUCUUUGAUAUGCCUCAAAGUUAAUGUUUUCGAAAGCCCCCACAAAGAAGGGACACCCAAGUAGGCGUCCGAAUUAUUUGCCACCUCUAAGGUAGUCUCUUCUUGAAUCAACCUUUCGUUGUCCCUUUGGGAGUAUUCACACUAAAAACGUUGCUUGAUUUAUCAUAGUUGACCCUUCGUCCAGAAGCUGCACAAUAUUCUUGAAUCAAGUUAAUCAUUCUCCUACAAUUUAAUGAACUAGCUUCCAAAAAGAAUAGAAAUCGUUCGUGAAUAACAAAUGUGACACUACUGGAUAAUGACUACNNNNNNNNNNNNNNNNNNNNNNNNNNNNNNNNNNNNNNNNNNNNNNNNNNNNNNNNNNNNNNNNNNNNNNNNNNNNNNNNNNNNNNNNNNNNNNNNNNNNAACUCCUUUCAAUAUAUUCACCAUGAUCUUCGAUAUGAUUUAAUACUUAAAAUUAUAAGGAAUAAUUGACCUAAUUAAAUUAUGUCAUUAAUUCAAGACAUUUAGUUUUCAGAAGUAAAAUUAUCUCAAUCUCGUUCGAAAAUUUCCCUUCCCUAAAAAAAAAACUCUUAAUAGCUUCCAAAACAUCCUUUUUAAUAAUUUCCCAAUAAUUAUGAUAGAAAAUCCCGUUAAAAUCAUCCACGAAAAAAGAGAUUAAUUUAAUUGUUUUGUAUGCUUAACUUGUACAAUAUAAGUAAAAUAUUAUAAUUUUAUCUCCAAAUUCUCUCAACACAUCUUUCUGACCCUUGUUUAUAAUCUCAUUUGUAUCUAGCAGGAUAUCCAAUUUAAAAUUAAAUAAUUUUUUUUAUAAUUCUUUAAAUAUUAAAAAUAUUUUCCUCUAUUAUUAUUUUUUGUUGUUGGAGUAUUAAAUAUUAGCCUUAAAACCAUAAGGCAUGAACUAUUCCAAACAACCCUUAAAAAGAUAUGUAAAUUUUGUUUUUGAAUAUCAUUUUUACUUUUUUAGGUUUCAAAUUGGAUAGUGAAUUAUAUAUUUAUUUAUUCGAAACUCCUCUUAAAUUAAUAAGAGUGAAGUUUCUUAUUUAGUAUUGAUUGUUCCAUAAAAUAUUCAAAGUUUUCAAAGUUUUCAAAUAGAUUUAUUUUUUUAAGUGUAGUUAAUAACCUCAAUAAAAAUUAAACUUUAUAAGUGAUGAAUUUAUAUUAAAAAUUGUUUGAUAAAUUCAUAAAAUAUAAGUUUGGGUUCAUCUACUUUUACAUUUCUUUUACCUAUUUAAAUUAUUUCUUAAUUUUUCUUAUUUUUUAAAAAAUUAUUCUUAAUUUUUUAUACAGGAAAAAUAAUCGACGAGGAAAUGAAAAAGUUAGGAGAGAACAUGGUUCAACAUUGUGCAGGGCUUCCAUUAGCCAUUGUUGUAUUGGGAGGAAUUUUAGCUACAAAGAAUAAUUCAUUAAACGAAUGGCGAAAGAUAUCUGACAAUGUAAAAUCCUACUUGAAGAAGGGCAAAAAUCAAAGACUAGAGGAUGUGUUAGCAUUAAGUUAUGAUGAUUUGCCUCCCUAUCUAAGACCAUGUUUCCUCUAUCUAAGCCAUUUUCCGGAGGAUUAUAUGAUAGAUGUGGAUAGAUUGAUUCAAUUAUGGGUUGCUGAAGGUAUUGUGUCAUCAAAGCAAGAAGAAAGAGAUGGUGGGGAAAUUGUGGAAGAUGUGGCGGAAUCUUAUUUAAUGGAGCUUGUGGAAAGGUGCAUGAUUCAAGUACGAGAAAGAGAUGUGGCAACCUUAAAGGUCAAAACAAUUCAGAUGCAUGAUCUGAUGAGAGAUCUUUGCUUAUCAAAAGCAAAACAAGAAAAUCUUGUCUUCAUUGUUGAUCGACCGAAUGCAUCUUCGUUAUCUAUGAUUCGGAAGGUUCAUAGGGUUUCUGUGCAUGAGUUUUUUUUCAUACAAUGCAUUAAAAGUCCAAAUAUUUAGUCACUUUUGUUCUUCAAUGAGUUCUUUCCGAAGGAGGCAAUUGAAAAAUCUUUGCCCUUGAAAGUGUUGAAUUACGUUGAAGAACAUGAAGAUGAUGAUUGUAAUCCACUAUUUUGGAUUCUUAUAACUUUGGCACGUUCUACAGGACGUCAUAAAAUUCACGAAAUUUGUAGAUACAUGUUCAACAACUUCAAAUUGCUAAGAGUCCUAAACUAUGAGAUAAGAACAAGAAGAACACGUGAUCUUUUUGGAGGGUGGAAGUUACCCAGUGAUAUAGGUAAUCUCGUCCAUUUAAGAUUCUUGAGUCUAAGGAAUUUUGAGUUCCAACGGUCAAAGUUGCCAUCAUCUCUAGGCAACUUAAGGUGCUUGCAAACCUUGGAUUUAAGAGUUGAUGACAGAAUUCAUGUACCUAAUGUGAAAUGGAGGAUGGAGCAACUAAGACAUUUAUAUCUCCCUUUGAGAUGUAAAAGCAGAACUAAGUUGAAGUUGGGUACUUUGACAAAACUCCUAACACUUGUGAACUUCAAGACCAAGAAUUGUUAUCUGAAGGAUCUUAUCAACAUGACAAAUCUUAGAGAGUUGGGGAUAAAUUUGCCCUUCAAUAUUGAAAAUUUCAAUGAGAAGGAGUUGGGCGAGAAUCCACCCAUAAUCGGAAGUAAAUAUCUUCAUUCCUUGUCUAUUACCUAUGAAGAAGGACUGAAAAUAUUUACUUUAUUUUCUAUUGAUGUCAUUAUGAAAUCCUGGUCAAAAAUAGAUCCAAGACAUUUGGCCCACCUCCUUUCAAAUUGUACUAGUAUUUGCAAGUUGAGUAUAACAAGAGUGAUAAGUGAGUUACCAGAGUAUCACUACUUCUCUUCCCAUCUCGCUUACAUACGGUUGAUAUGUUGUAAGUUUGAGGAAGAUCCAAUGCCAACACUAGAGAAGCUGCCUAACUUAAGGAUUCUUGAACUCAAAUAUACUUCAGAAGGAAAGGAAAUGUUUUGCUCUGCUCAGGGUUUUCCUAAACUUGAGUCUCUAAUCCUUGCGGAGCUCUACAAAUUGGAGGAGUGGAAGGUGGAUGAAGGAGCCAUGCCUUCUCUUCAGCGAUUGGAGAUUGAGGAAUGUGGAAACUUGAAGAUGCUUCCAGAGGGAUUGAGGUUCAUUACAACCCUCAAAGAACUGAAGCUUGAAUUAAUGCCAAAGGCAUUCAAAGAUAGAUUAGAGGAAGGAGGAGAAGAUUUCUGCAAAGUCAAACAUGUUCCUUCUGUCAUAUUCCAAAAAUGUGGCUAAUAGAUUGAAUGAUAAUUGAGAGGUAAUUUCAUAACCUCUGGUUUAGGAAAUGAUUCCUACUUUCUUUGCUUCUUAUAUAUCUUUUGUUUUUGACAAUGUCUCACAUUCUCACUCACUUUGUCAACACACCAAUGAAUAAUUACAUUUAUUGAAAGUCAAAGGAAGUGAGACAUUGAUAUUUUUAGUUUUUCUUUUCAGGUAAAGACGCCAUUUUUUCACCUGCUACUGCUAUUCACGGGAUCAAAUCUAGAUUUAAAACUCCUAUUAUAAGUGGCAUGUGAAAGUGUGUUAUAUGGUGAGAUUUGGAAUUAUGUUCUCUCUUGUAUAUAUCUGUGGUUGUUGACUGUUUGUUGUUUUCUUCAAAUUACAAUAAAACGGUUGCAAGAUAUGGUAUUGGAAGAAUGGGAGGUGUCUGGAUUAGCAAGGUACCAAACUCCUCCUCCAUUUCAAUUUCCUUCAAUCUAAUUUAAUUACACGUUCAUUUUUGUCUUUUAAAACAUAAAAUUGCAGAUAAGGAGACGUCACUGACCUUUGUUCCCACAUAGCUUUGGUUUGCGCCUUUGCGGUGACCAUUCCUAUAUUUAUUUGUUAGCUUUGCUUUCUCUGCUUGAGUCUUUCUCUUUUUUCUUUUUUCUUUUUUUUAUAUGCACUUAAUGUAAUAUUAGAAGCCAAGGCAGGACCAUGCUUUUCUAUUGUAAAAUUCAUCACUUUGUUGUCUAUGUUCAUUUCUACUUUUCAUUUGAUAUAUAUUUGAAUAUGGAGAAUAUAAUCUUUUUAAUAUAUACAUAUUUUAGAAAAAAAAUGAAUAUAUGUAUGUUUGACAUAUUUCCCGUUUCAACAUAUUUCCUUAUUUUAUGCAAGUCAAUUGGCAUUUAACCAAAUAAAUUUAAUUGCUUCAGUUUGAGUUAAAAUUAAAAUUUCAAAAUUAAAAAAAAAAUACAAAAAAUAAAGUUGACAAAUUCAAAAAUAUACAUAUUAAAAUUGAUCAAAUUAAAAGUGCACUGGCUAACCUUAAUUUUUUUGUUAAUCUUUCUUUUCGAUUAAUUAAAUGUCCAUGACGUAUAUUAUAUAUCUUAAUAUAUAAAUAUUUUUAAAAAAAUUAAAUAUAUGUAGGUUGGACACAUAUUCAAGUUUGAUAUUCGUCUUAAAUUCGUGCAAUACGGUUAAAUAUUGGUGAAUUAGUAGUUGAUGAAGUAUUAUAUACAUUCUUGGAAUAUUGCUCUAUUCAACGAAUUUAUUUCAGCUCCAUAUGCUUAAAACGCCUCCCAUUUCUAACAUAUUUCCUCAUUUUGGGUAACUCGAUUGGUAUACAAUGUAGUCUUUUUCAUUGUUUAGUAUCCUAAUCCUUAACUCAAUAAUCUUUGUUACAAUAGGGUUUAAUGAUUGCAAUUCAUCUCGAUGCUUCCGAAGCAAAAAAAAAAAAAAUCAAAUUUUACCGGUUAAUUACAUGUCAACACAUAUAAUCCACGAUAUGUUUAUCUGAAAGAUUAAAUAAGAUUAACUAAAUCACAAAGAAAAUAAACGAGUAAACAUAAUCUAGAAAUUCCAAAUUACAUUAUCUAACAAAAAUUCAAUAAGAAAUAAAUGGUUGCAUUUCAUUCUUUAGGGAUUUGCUCUUAUAUCUUCCAACAAUAGCUUGAUGAUAAUAAGCUGAAAAAGAAAAGGAGUCCAAGGGAAUUGAAGAUUCUUAAUUCAGCUAGCUUAAUUGAUUGAAUACUUCAAAUACACUUAAUUAAUACCAAUUAUAUUUAUCAAUAAAUCUAAAAUUUGAAUCCCUCAUUUGCAACCUAUUUUGUAAAAACUGCCAAAUGAAAUCAAAUUAUCUUGUUUCAAUUCUCUUCAAAUUUUAGUUUACAACUUCUAUUUUUGGGUUUCCAUUUGUUUCUACUUUUAAAGCAAACAUUGAUUCAAGAAAUAUUUAUUUCAUUUGGCUUAUUUUCUUUUCUAUUUUUAUGCUAUUCAGAUUCGAUGAAAUAUUGAACAUAAUAUGUGUGCAAGUUAGAUGUCCGAGUCUUGAAAUGUAAGAUCGAAACGGGAGAAAUAUCCUAAAACCCGAUGCUUAAAGAUUUAUAAAAUUUAGUAUAAUCAUGUUGUUUUCAUUAUUAUAAAACUCAAUGUUAAAAUGUCUAUGAUUUGAAUUAUGAUACAAGAGAAAAAUAGCUAACUAUUUUAAGUUCAAGGUGUGAGAAAACCUCAAUAUCUAAGAUAUGAAUGUUGUAAAGUACCACUCAAUCACAGCCACAUUUGUUAGUAUGACUACUUUGGAUGAAAAGUUCUAUUCCAAGUUAUAUAUACACACAGAAAUACACAUGAAGUGGAUUAAUGGUGUAUUAUUAAGUAAAGGAAAACGGUUCUAACUAAAAGAAAGAGUUGAAAUCUUGAACCUCCAAAUAUUGGGUAACCGCUGGUGUUAAAAAGUGCAUAAAGGUCCGCGCUUAUCUACAAGAAAUAAUGGAGGAAUCGCAUACGCUGUUUAUAUUCAUUUUUUUUGCUCCACAAGCAAUCCGAAACCAUAAACAAAGGAGUACUUUUUUGCCUUUUUUAAAUGGUUUUCUUGUUUCUUUUCCGCUUUUCAAAUUCUUCAUUCAAUUCAAGUUCAAGAAACCAUACUAAAUAUAUAUAUAUGUUUAUAUUCGCUUUUCUUGCUACACAAGCAAGCCAAAACCAUAAACAAAGGCAUGCAUUUUAUUUCCUUUUUUAAUGGUUUUCUUGAUUCUUUGUUGUUUUUAAAAUUCUUCAUUCAAUUCAAGUUCAAGAAACCAUACUAAAAUAUAUAUUUAUAUUCGCUUUUUUUGCUACACAAGCAAGCUGAAACCAUAAACAAAGGCAUACAUUUUUUCCUUUUUUAAAUGCAUUUUUUUUUUUGUUUCUUUGUUGUUUUUUAGAUUCUUCAUUCAAUUCAAGUUCAAGAAAUCAUACUAAUUAUAUAUGUUUAUAUUCACUUUUCUUGCUACAUAAGCAAGCCGAAACUAUAAACAAAGGCAUACCUUUUUUUCCCCUUUUUAUCUUGCUGCUUUUUAGAUUUUUCAUUCAAUUCAAGUUUAAGAAAUCAUACUAUAUAUAUACCAUACUAUAUAUAUAUAUAUGUUUAUAUUCACUUUUCUUGCUACACAAGUCAACUGAAACCAUAAACAAAGGCAUAACUUUUUCGCUUUUUUUAAAAUGAUUUUUUUUCUUUGCUACUUUUUUAAAUUUUUAUUCAAUUUAAGUUUAAAAAACCCUACUAAAUAUAUAUAUAUAUAUAUAUAUAUUAAGAGAGAGACAUCAUCAUCCUCAAGGAGUAAGUGGUUAAGCAUGAACUUGAUGGGAAGGCCACAAGUCGGUGGUGGUCAAAUCAUGAGUUGAUUAUGAUUAGUUUCAUGUUAUGGAAAAAAGAUGCUAGUUAAAAUUAGUUACUUGACCGUUGCAUUUUGAGGUUGAGAGUUUAAUGAAACGAUACGCUUUGAUGUUUAAUGAAAACGGUGCGUAUUGAAAGUUUGAUACAACUAAUCGAAUAACAAGCCUGUAACAACUUUGUAACUACCAAUUCCUCGCUUUAAAAAAAUAUUCCAAAUAUGUUUUCUCACCUUAUCAUUUUUGUUAUUUUUCAAGCCCCCUUACCAUUUUAUAUUUUUAAUGGGUAUAUUAUAAAAAUAGUCACCUAGGUAUUGCUUUCAUUCUAUUUUAUUCACUAAGUUAUUAAUUUUUUCGAUUUAAUUACUAAAUUUUUUUAAAUUAAAUAUUUUGAUCACUCUCCCAUUAGUUAUCAUUAGAUAAGUGAUAGGAAGUUAAUGUGGGCUUUUUUUAUUAGUCUAAUAACAAAUUUAGUCAUCUAAUGUUUACACAUUCUAUUAAAUUGAUUUUAAAUAUAAAAUGUUCAAUAGCUUUAAACCUAAAUGUUUACCAAAUCUAUUGUUAUAGUUCAAAUCCUAAAAAUUUCAAUAAAUUUAAUCCUCAAAAUUUGUAAAUUUAAUUUUAAUUCUAACUCAUGGAUGAAUUAAGCAAAUUAAAUCAAAUCAAAUCAAUCGAACAAAGAAUUUAAUUAAAAAGAAAUUCUUCACAUGCAUCAAGGAGGGACUUCCUCUGGUGGUAUCAAGGGGAUUGAUAGAAACAGCUCAGGCUCGAACAAGAACUUCACUGGGCUUAAGAUCAGGAACAGACACAUCGGAUCAAAGCUGCAACACCUCAGGUCCACCGAACCGAGGCAGCAACACCGCCCUGCAACUGUUGGCAUAGCACCGAAUUGAACCCACUUUCAAUGAUAUGAUAACUCCAUAAAGGGUUUGGGUUUUAAGCUUUGAAAGUUCCCCUUUUUCUUCUCAAAUUUUCUGAACUUCAGCUCCUUCCUUUUGUUAAAUGAAGGAAAAGCAAAGGAGAGACACCGAAGUGUUUUAAUCCACAUAGAAAAUAGUGAUUAUGUGACUUGUGAGUGUUGGCCUGGGGUCUUGGAAGAAGAAGAUGAAUAUUGCAUAAUCGAUUUUUAAUUGCUUACUACAUUCAUAAUUAAAUAAAUAAAAAUUUCUAACCUUAUCAAUUAAAUCAAGUUAGAAUGUUCAACUUGAUUUUUGUUUGUUAUAAGGAUCAUAUAUUAUAAAACUUAAUUUUAUUUUAAUAAUUAUAUAAUAUUAUUUUUAAUUAUAUCAUCUGAUACCAUCUUGAGGGCUAAAUUUAGAAUUAAAAUUAAAUUGACAAAUUUUAGAAAUUUUGAGCUUAAAUUUAUUUUUAUUUUUAGGAAUUUGAAAUAAAAUGAGAAAUUUUGUAAAUAUUGAGGAUUAAAUUUGUUGGAAAUUUUAUAUUUAGAAUCAAAUGGUAGAAUGUCUAAACAUUAGGGGGCUAAAUUUAUUAUUAGACCAAUAAAAACAAGUUCAUAUCAAUUUCCCGUCACUCAUCUAAUUGCAACUAAUGAGGAAGUGAUGAAAAUAUUUAACUUCUAAAAAUUUAAUGACUAAAUAAAAAAAUUAACAUUUAAGUGAUCAAAAUAGAAUGAAAUCAAUAAUUUGAUGAGCAUUUUUGUACUGUACCCUAUCUUAAUCCAUCUCACAACCAAAUUUCUCCGUCUUUGCCUAAGUUCUGUGUCUUUGUCAAAUUUUAAUAGAAUUAACAUUUUUAUUUAAAAAAUAUCUUUAAUCGUUUAAUAUAUUUUUAAUAAGUAAAUGUUAAUUCCGUUAAGGGUCAGUUUGUUUACACGUAAAAAGUUAAAAAUAAAAAUAUUGAGUUCUAUAAUAUGAGUCUAUUGAACCGAUUCAAUCAUAAAUUUUAUUAUUAUUGGUUUAUAUAAUGGUUUGAUUUUGAAAAUAUUUGGUUUAACAUUUAGUCAUCCCUUUGAUCAAUUUUAAAUUUUAGAAAUAAUUUUGUUUUUUGUUUACAUUUAAAUGUACAGUUUCUAAUGCAUAUGUGUUACAUUUGAUUUCAAGCCAUUAAUCCUUAAUUACUUUUUAAAAUAAUAGUUUCUUUUAGUUUUUAAAUAAUGUAUAAAUUUAUAAUUAUAUAAGAAAGUAAACUAUAAUAUUAAAUUUUUAAAAAUUAAGUAAAACAACAUGCAAUAAUUUUCAUAAUAAUUAAUGAUAAAUAAGAAAAAUAUUCACAAUUAUAAAACAAACCGUUUAAGAGUAUAUAAACUACUUAUACAAAAUUCUUUUAAAUCAAAGAUGAAAUUAUAUAUAUAUAAAUAACAAAUGAAAUUAUAUAUACAAAUUUAUAAGUGAAAAAUAUACAUAAUUAUAUUCAUAAAAAGUACAUAUGACAAUAUACAAACAAGGCUAUAAAGUAAUUCAUAGGAACAUGGCUUUCUUGUUAGUAUUCUCAUUCUUUUUUUAACAUACCUUUCUUGCUUGUGUUCUCAUUCUAUUAUGAAUAUACCUUUCUUGUUCGUAUUCUCGUUCUAUUGAUGAUUAAUGUUGCUUUAUAAUUGUUUAUAAAUUUAAUAGAACUAUAUAUUACUACUAAAAGUAUAAAAGGGCAAUGAUUUGCAAUUGUUUUUAUAAUUAAGUACUGGUUCUUGCAAUUGUUUUCCCAGCAAGAUUGCGGCACUCACAUCUUGAAAUCCAAAUUCAAGAUUUUAAAGAAUUUUCUGAGCUCGAUAGCUAUUAUGGCUUGGUCUGCUGUGACAUCUGCAGUGACAACAAUUGGCAACCUGCUAACUCAGGAAGCCAUAUACCUAUGGGGCGUGGAGGAGCAAGUUGAUCGUCUGCAAACAGAGCUCAAAUGGAUGCAAAGCUCCUUAAUGGUGGCAGAGACAAAACAAUCAACGGAUGAGAGGAUUCGUCUUUGGGUUGCUGAAAUCAGAGAGCUUGCUUAUGAUGCUGAGGAUAUUGUUGAGGAAUUUGCUCUCAAGAUUGGAUCCAAAAACAAAGGUGGCCUUCCGAGUUGUAUUAAAAGAUCAGCCUGCUGUUUGAAAGAGGGAUGGGUGCUCCAUGAAACCAGGUCAAAGAUCGAGAAAAUCAUAGAAAGAGUCAGCGACUUGGUCCGACGACUACAGGCCUACGGCGUAAAGGAAUUAAAUCCCAGAGGAGAAGGAUCAAGUUUUUCAACUGAAAUACGAGAAUCAAGGCGGCCUUAUCCACAUAUUAUGGAUGAUAAUAUUGUUGGACUAGUUGAUGAUACCAAGGGAUUGGUCGAAGUUCUUACGAAGGAAAGUGGAUGCAAGGUUGUUACAAUAUGGGGCAUGGGUGGUCUGGGAAAGACCACUCUCGCCAAGAAAAUAUAUCACCAUGGUGAGGUUAUUGAUUAUUUCGAUCACUUGGCUUUUGUAUAUGUUUCUCAACCAUGCCGGAAAAGAAAUGUUUGGGAAGACAUUUUAUCUGGUUUCAAAACUUUAGAUAAAGAGGACAGGAAGAUAACAGAUGCAGAAUUAGCAGGGAAGUUGAGUAAAACUUUGAAGGAUAAAAAGUGUCUGGUGAUACUUGAUGAUGUUUGGACCAGUGAAGCUUGGGAUAGUCUAAAACCUGCCUUUCCAGUUGAUAGCAAAAGCAAGAUAUUGCUCACCUCUAGAAACAGGGGGAUAGUUUCAUAUGCUGACAUAAAAGGUAAAAUUUUCUUAAUUAGGUAAAAUUGAAUACUCUUAUUCCUUUGAUGGAAAAUAACCAUGUAUAUUAUUUCAGAGUUGAAGUGCCUAAACGAUGAAGAAAGUUGGGAAUUGUUUCAAAAGAUUGUAUUUCCUCAAACAGGUAAAUAUACAUAUAGCAAAAUUCUUGUUAUACGCUAAAUUUAUUUUUCAUUUUUAAUUUUUUUGACAAUAAUUAAAUUUAAAAAUAUAUAAAAUCUAUUUUAUUUAAAAAUUUCAAAACCUUAAUAUGAAAUAAAUAAAAGAAAUCAAGGCUUUGUAGUUUAUCAGCUAAUGGUACACGCAAGUAAAUAUAAUUAAUAGGUAAAUUCAUUAUCUUUUAUAUUAUAUAUUUUUAAUAACUUUGCUAUUAGUUACCGAGAAUAAAUUAUAUUAGGAUCAUCUUAAAAAAAUAUAAAUUUUAGGCACCAAUAAAAUAAUGUUACAUCGUUAAAUUUUUAAGAUAACAAAGAAUUAUUAUACACUCAUUUAUAUUUAAUAUUUUCUCCAACUUAAUUUAACUUUAAUUAAAUUAUUUAAAAUAAUUAAUUUUUUAAAUUAUAGACAAACAUCUUUUCUUCUUUUACAAAAUUUAAUCAUUUUUUUAUAAGUUAAUAUUUUUUUUAUUUUUGUGCAACCAUUUUUUAAAAAAAUAGUAAUUUUUGUGCAAUAUUUUUCAUGUCAUUGACACAUAAUUUUGAUAAUUAUUUUAUCCUGAACCCAAAACCCCGAACCUUGAACUCGAACCCUAAACCCUGAACCUAAACCUUGAGCCCUGAAUCUCAUAAUUUAAGGUUUGGAUUCGAGAUUUAAAGCUCAGAAUUCGAAGUUCAAGUUUAAAGUUUAAGGGUUCAGGUGGGUUACGAGUUUAGGAUUCAUGGUUCAAGGGUUUGGGGUUGCAAGUUUGGAGUUUUAUGUUUUGGAUCUAGGUUUAGAAUUAUAGAUUUAGGGUUCAGGUAAAAAAUUUACCAAAAUUAUGUGUCAAUGACAUGGAAAAAAUUGUUGAAAUGUUAUUAAAUAAUUGGAAAGGGACCAUGAAUAAUGUGGUCAGAAGAGUCCAUAAAAUAAUUUCUCUAUGGAUGAGUGUAUAAUAAUUUAUGUCUUUAAAAUUUGAUGAUGUGACAAAAAAAAUUUAAUUUUUAGGAUCUUCCUAAUGUAAGUUAUUACCUUAUCUUAAUUAUUGGACUAUAUGCUUGUUUAGUUUCUUAAGCACUUUCAUGGUAUUCUUUUAUACGUUUAUCCUGGAUCCUUGCAUCAGAAAGAUUGAGGUGCAGGUAAACCAUUCUUAUCAAGAGUAAAGCCUAAGAAAGAUGUAGUUGAUUCGAACAACUAGCACAUCUCUUUAUGACCCUAUUUAGCAAACCAAUCCACUAACCUAUUGGCUUCUCGUCUGAUAACAUUGACUUUCAAAGAAGAAAGUUGCAUGACCAGCAUAUCAAAAACCUAAAGGACUAGCCUUAAUCUCCAUCUUCGAUCUUGACUUUUCUUCUUAAUGUUAGAAGCAAUAGUCUGGGAGUUAGUCUUGAUUGUCACAUUGGUCCAUUUGUUCUUCAUAGUUAAUUCAAUCCAUCCAACCAUAGCUUUAGCCUCGACAACCUUACAUGAAUCCACUUAAUCCUUUUACCAAUCCCAUCCAGAAUCUUCCCACUUAAAUUUCUGCCUAUUUCUCUAAUACCGGCACAAGCUAUUAAGGUGUCAAAUGCCCCAUCACAAUUAACUUUAACCCAACCUUCUGGUGAUUUCUCCCAAAUAUCAGCACAAGUAUUUGACUUCCUAGUUCGAUCAGAGUUAUUGUUUGAACAGAGGAUCCAUUGAGCAGAUAAGAAUUCAUUCAUGGAGCAAUUAAUCCUUCGAAUAAUUCUCUCCAAACCAAGUUUCACACCUCCGAUUGUAACCUCACACCUAGCUUUCCAGAUGUGGUAACAAGUGAAAACAAUUCUAACUUGAAAAUCCUCCCUCAUACAAGGCAUUUGUAACAACUUAGAGAACCAUCUGUCAAAUGAUUGAGUUUGAUCAUUUAGCCCUUAAAGACCAAAACAAGCAUCAUACUAUAUUCCCCUAACCCUAUUACAACUAAGAAUAAUAUGUUCAAAGUCUCAUCUUCAAUACCACAUAAACAACAAAUUGUGUUCGAAAAACAUUUUCUUUUCCUCGGAUUAAAACGAGAUGGAAUAGCAUUAUGACACAAUUUCCAUAAGAAAAUUUUAAUUUUUUUCAGUACCUGUAAGCUCCAAAUAGCUUUCUGAGUGCUCCUAUCAAUUAAGUGAGAGCUGGAAGAUUGUAAAGAAGACUCAUUUCCAUAGUGCUUUCUCAUCUCCUUAUACCCUGACUUCAUCAAAUAUUGACCAACAGCUGUAAACGGCCACACCAAUUUAUCUUGUUCAUCUGUUUCAUGAACGGGAACUGUUGGAAAUUGCCAAUCAUUCUGCUGUUACAUUUUUUGGUUGAAGUGCAUGCAGAAAAAAAAUGUUAGAAAUUUGCCAACCAUGCUGCUGUUACAUUUUUUGGUUGAAGUGCAUGCAGCUUGAUGACAUGUUGCAUGCACUUCAACCAAAAAAAUGUAACAGCAACAUGGUUGGCCAAUUUCCAACACUCCUCCUUGGACUCUAUGCUGCAAAUACCAGUCAUUCAUUAAGUUUUUGAACUUGGCAGUCCUUAGAUGCUUUGUUUCAAGCUAACUCUUCUCAAGCAAUUCAUUUUCAACAUUGGCUUCAUUCUCAACCAAAUCUGACUUACACACUUGACUAUACCACUCUUUUGUGCCAAAGAUUUGUCCAUCAAAUGGAGUAUUCUCCUCUUUCACAGCCUUGGUUGACAACUUGCCUUUAAACUCAUCUUUUCUUUCUUGCCUUGUCCCUUUACUCAUUACAAUCCUGUUUCUUCUUGCACAAACAGUUCAUGAGUAUAGUUUGCUUGCCUUCAGUCUGCCAUUUUGGCUUGCACCUACUCGAGCUUGCAUUUAAACUGUUUGCCACUUUGGCUUGCAAUUCGAUAAGCUCACACUUUGACAAGCUCACACUUUGCUUACUGUCUUCAACAGGCUCGCAACUUUACAACUCGCAUUGAGCUUCCACAUGUUGCUGAGCUCACACCCAAAGUUAAUGAUUUCGAAAGCCCCCACAAAGAAGGGACACCCAAGUAGACGUCCGCAUUAUUUACCACCUCUAUGUUAGUCUCUUCUUGAAUCAACCUUUCGUUGUCCCUUCGGGAGUAUUCACACUAAAAACGUUGCUUGAUUUAUCAUAAUUGACCCUUCGUCUAGAAGUUGCACAAUAUUCUUGAAUCAAGUUAAUCAUUCUCCUACAAUUUAACGAACUCACUUCCAAAAAGAAUAGAAAUCGUUCGUGAAUAACAAAUGUGACACUACUGGAUAAUAACUACUAAGGCUAAUCCAAGAAAUAAAACUAGACUCGACUCUAUUAAUAAUCACCACCCCUAGAACUCCUUUCAAUAUAUUCACCAUGAUCUUCGAUAUGAUUUAAUACUUAAAAUUACACAGACUAAUUGACCUAAAUUAUGUCAUUAAUUCAAAACAUUUAGUUUUCAGAAUUAAAAUUAUCUCAAUCUCAUUUGAAAAUUUCCCUUCCCUAAAAAAAAAAACUCUUAAUAGCUUCCAAAACAUCCUUUUUAAUAAUUUCCCAAUAAUUAUGAUAAAAAUUCUGCUAAAAUAUUCGCAAAAAAAAGAUAUUAAUUUAAUUGUUUUGUAUGCUUAACUUGUACAAUAUAAGUAAAAUCUUAUAAUUUUAUCUCCAAAUUCUCUUAACACAUCUUUCUGACCCUUAUUUAUAAUCUCAUUUGUAUCUAAGAGGAUAUUCAAUUUAAAAUUAAAUAAUCUUUCUUAUAUAAUUCUUUAAACAUUAAAAGUAUUUUCCUCUAUUUUUUUUUUUUUGGUUGGAGUAUUAAAUAUUAGCCUUAAAACCAUAAGGCAUGAACUAUUCCAAACAACCCUUAAAAAGAUAUGUAAAUUUUGUUUUUGAAUAUAUCAUUCUUACUUUUUUAGAUUUCAAAUUGGAUAGUGAAUUAUAUAUUUAUUUAUUUGAAACUCCUCUUAAAUUAAUGAGAGUGAAGUUUCUUAUUUAGAAUUGAUUGUUCUAUAAAGUAUUCAAAUUUUUCAAAUAGAUUUAUUUUUUCAAGUGUAGUUAAUAACCGCAAUAAAAACUAAAUUUUAUAAGUGAUGAAUUUAUAUUAAAAAUUGUUUGAUAAAUUCAUAAAAUAUAAGUUUGGAUUCAUCUACUUUUACAUUUUUUUUACCUAUUUAAAUUAGUUCUUAAUUUUCCUUAUUUUUAAAAAAUUUAUUCUUAAUUUUUUAUACAGAAAAUAUAAUCGACGUGGAAAUGAAAAAGUUAGGAGAGAAUAUGGUUAAACAUUGUGCAGGGCUUCCAUUAGCCAUUGUUGUAUUGGGAGGAAUUUUGGCUACAAAGAAUAAUUCAUUAAAUGAAUGGCGAAAGAUAUCUGACAAUAUAAAAUCAUACUUGAAGAAAGGCAAAAAUCAAAGACCAGAGGAUGUGUUAACAUUAAGUUAUGAUGAUUUGCCUCCCUAUCUAAGACCAUGUUUCCUCUAUCUAAGCCAUUUUCCGGAGGAUUAUAUGAUAGAUGUGGAUAGAUUGAUUCGAUUAUGGGUUGCUGAAGGUAUUGUGUCAUCAAAGCAAGAAGAAAGAGAUGAUGGGGAAAUUGCGGAAGAUGUGGCGGAAUCUUAUUUAAUGGAGCUUGUGGAAAGGUGCAUGAUUCAAGUACGAGAAAGAGAUGUGGCAACCUUAAAGGUCAAAACAAUUCAGAUGCAUGAUCUGAUGAGAGAUCUUUGCUUAUCAAAGGCAAAACAAGAAAAUUUUGUCUUCAUUGUUGAUCAAUCAAAUGCAUCUUCAUUAUCUAUGAUUCGGAACGUUCGAAGGGUUUCUGUGCAUGAGUUUUUUUCAUACAAUGCAUUAAAAGUCCAAAUAUUCGGUCACUUUUGUUCUUCAAUGAGUUUUUUCCGGAGGAGGCAUUAGAAAAAUCUUUGCCCUUGGAAGUGUUGAAUUACGUUGAAGAACAUGAAGAUGAAGUUUGUAAUCCACUUGUUUGGAUUCUUAUGAUUUCGCGAACUGGUACGAGCUUUCUUAAAGCUCGGGGAAUUUGGAGAUACAUGUUCAACAACUUCAAAUUGCUAAGAGCCCUAAACUAUGAGAGAACAACAUGUGAUCGUUUUGUAGGGUUUAAGUUACCCAGUGAUAUAGGUAAUCUCAUCCAUUUAAGAUUCUUGAGUCUAAAGGAUCUUGAGUUCACAUGGCCAAAGUUGCCAUCAUCUCUAGGCAACUUAAGGUGCUUGCAAACCUUGGAUUUAAGAGUUGAUAGUUACAAAAUUCAUGUACCUAAUGUGAUAUGGAGGAUGGAGCAACUAAGACAUUUAUAUCUCCCUUGGAGAUGUAAAAGCAGAACUAAGUUGAAGUUGGGUACUUUGAGAAAACUCCUAACACUUGUGAACUUCAACACCAAGAAUUGUUAUCUGAAGGAUCUUAUCAACAUGACAAAUCUUAGAGAGUUGGGGAUAAAUUUACCCUUCAAUUUUGAAAAUUUCAAUGAGAAGGAGUUGGGCGAGAAUCCAUUCAUAAUCGGAAGCAAAUAUCUUCAUUCCUUGUCUAUUAUUACCCGUAGGCUAAAGAUAUCAAUAGAUCCAAGACAUUUGGCCCACCUCCUUUCAACUUGUACAAGUAUUUGCAAGUUGAGUAUAGCAGCAGAGAUAAGUAAGUUACCAGAGUAUCACUACUUCUCUUCACAUCUCACUUACAUACGGUUGAGAUGGUGCAAGUUUGAGGAAGAUCCAAUGCCAACACUAGAGAAGCUGCCUAACUUAAGGAUUCUUGAAUUCGAAUGUUCUUUGAAAGGAAAGUAAAUGUUUUGCUCUGCUCAGGGUUUUCCUAAACUUGAGUCUCUAAUCCUUGCGGAGGUCGACAAUUUGGAGGAAUGGGAGGUGGAUGACGGAGCCAUGCCUUCUCUUCAGCGAUUGGAUAUCAGGCAUUGCCCAAGCUUGAAGAUGCUUCCAGAGGGAUUGAGCUCCAUUACAACCCUCAAAGAACUGAAGAUUGAAUCAAUGCCAAAGGCAUUCAAAGAAAGAUUGGAGAAAGGAGGAGAAGAUUUCUACAUAGUCAAAGAUGUUCCUUCUAUCAUACUCCAAUACUGUGGCUAAUAAAUUGAAUGAUAAUUGAGAGGUAAUUUCAUAACCUCUAGUUUAGGAAAUGAUUCCUACUUUCUUUGCUUCUUAUAUAUCUUCCGUUUUUGACAAUGUCUCACAUUCUCACUCAAUUUGUCAACACACCAAUGAAUAAUUACAUUUAUUAAAAGUCAAAGGAAGUCAUCUUUUUAGUUUUGCUUUUCAGGUAAAGACGCCAUUUUUUCACCUACUACUAUAAUGGCGUGUGAAAGUGUGUUAUAUGGUGAGAUUUGGAAUUAUCUUCUCUCUUGUAUAUAUUGUUGGAACAUUUUCAAAUAUUUAUAGUAUCCCAAUAACUAUAAAUGAAUGGGUGUAAUUAAUCAAAAGAUAAAUCUUUUGGUCAUUGGUCAAAAGUUAUAUCAUUUGAUUUUUUAAAAAAGAAUUAUAAUUAUUCAAAAAAUAUUAUUUGAAUAGUUACAAAAUUAAAGGAAUAAUUAUUAUUAUUUAUUUAUUCAUAAAGACACCUAUUGAAAGAUGUCUCUAUGAAGAGACAUGAAAAUUCCUAUAAAUAGGAAUGGGAUUUCAUUUGGAAAUCAUAUCAACAAAUUCUAAUAUUAUUUCUUCUCUUCCUUCAUUUUCUAAUAUUAUUAGAUUAUUCUAUAAAGUAUUCCUGCAGAAAUUCUUUGUAGAAAUUGAGUUUUUGUUACACAUUACUCAGUGCAUAGUGGACUAUUCUCGUCAGUGCAAAACACAAAUAGUCAUUGGCUUCAUUGUAUCCUCGAGGUUAAUUUGCUUGGAACUCAUUUGCACACUGAAGAUAAGUGGGGGCGAAUAUAACCUUAAUGAUAGUGGCUUGAUACACGCCUUGGAGCCUUGUCCUAUUUCUUCUUUUUCUUUUCGAGUUCCGAUCGUGUGUUCGAGAUUUUCCUUACCGGAGUUUUGUAAUAACAUAUAUCUAUGGUUGUUGACUGUUUGUUGUUUUCUUCAAAGUACAAUAAAACGGUUGCAAGAUAAGGUAUUGGAAGAAUGGGAGGUGUCUGGAUUAGCAAGGUACCAAAUAAGGAGACGUCAUAAAACAUAACAUUGCAGAUAAGGAGACAUCACUGACCUUUGUUCCCACAUAGCUUUGGUUUGCGGUGACCAUUCCUAUAUUUAUUUGUUAGCUUUGCUUUCUCUUUCUUUUUUUUCCCUUAAGUCUGCUUGAGUCUUUUUCUUUUUUUAUAUGUACUUAAUGUAAUAGUAGAAGCCAAGGCAGGACCAUGCUUUUCUAUUGUAAAAUUCAUCACUUCGUUAUUUUAUAUUUGUAUGUUGACACAUUUCCCGUUUCAACAUAUUUCCUUAUUUUAUGCAAGUCGAUUGGUAUUCAUCAUAAAAAUUACGAUAUCAUAUCAAGUUUAAUGGUUACACUUCCAAAACAAAAAAUAGGAAAAAUUAAAUCUUACCAACUAAUAACACUUUCAAAUUACACUGUCUUACAAAAAAAAAAAAAAAAAAGAAGAAGAUACAAUUUGAAUUUUUUUAUCAAAUGGUUUAGCAAGCUAUGCUUUAUAAAAGAGGCAAAGGAAUCCAAGGGAAUCAAAGAUUCCAAAAUCGAUAUUUAGAUUCAAGAUUUUGUAUCCCCAUGCUUUGCUUCUUAUAUCUACCAACAAUAUCUUGAUGAUAACAAACUAAAAAAAACUAUUCAAGGGAAUCGAAGAUUUCAAAUCCAACAUAAUUGAUUGAAAAUUUCACAUCCACUUAAUUAAUUCAAAUGAUAUUUAGUCAAUAAGUUUAAAUUAAAAACUGCAAGAAUCUUCAUUUAUCUUUUAUUCGAAAUGUAAUUCGGAUUCAAUGAAAAUAUUGAACAUAUAAUGUGUGCACAUGGAAAUGUCCAAAUCUUUAAAUAUAGGGUCGACAUGGGAGAAAUCUCCUCAGACAUUGAAUUUAUUGAGUGCAUUUUCAGAGGAAAAUCCUGAAACAUGUUACAGGCAAAUAUUAAGAAAAACAAUGCACAAGCAUAAGUACAAAAACAUAGCAUGCAAGAAAUCAAUACUUGAAAGGAUUAAAAUCACUGCUAACCUAAGACAUUGAAUCUAGCACCACUAGGAAACAUCCGAAAUGAUACUUGUCUUUCAAUGUUGAGAUACAUACGUCCAAGUCUGCCAUGUUGCGCCAAACUGGAAUUCAUCAACCUNNNNNNNNNNNNNNNNNNNNNNNNNNNNNNNNNNNNNNNNNNNNNNNNNNNNNNNNNNNNNNNNNNNNNNNNNNNNNNNNNNNNNNNNNNNNNNNNNNNNUUAUAUAUAUAUAUAUAUAUAUAUAUACAGACACACACACAGAUAGACAUGAAGAAAGUGGGUUAAUGGUGUAUUAUUUAAGUAAAGAAAAAGUUGAAAUCUUAAACCUCUAAAUAUUGGGUAACAGCUAGUGUUAAAAGUGCAUAAAGUUCUUCUAUUAUCUACAAGAAACAAUGGAGGAAUCACAUACAUUGUUUAUAUUCACUUUUCUUGCUACACAAGCAAGCUGAGUCCAUAAACAAAGGCAUACCUUUUCUCCGUUUUUAAAUGGUUUUCUUGUUUCUUGGCUGCUUUUUAUAUUAAGAAGAGAGAUUGUGAGACCUCGUCAUCCUCAAGGAGUAAGUGGUCCAGCAUGAAGAUGAUGGGAAGACCAUGAGUCGAUGGUGGUCAAUCCAUGAGUUGAUUAUGAGUAGUUUCAUGUUAUGAAAUAAAAAUGUUAGCUAAAGUUAGUUGAACGCUGUGUUUUAGGGUUGAGGGUUUAAUGAAACUAUCAGUUUUGAUGUUGAAUGAAAAUGGUGCGUAUUGACGGUUUGUUACAACUGCUCGAGGAACAGCCCUAUAACAGACUUUGUAACUGCCAAUUCUCAGCCAUAAUAGAAACUGGCAUGGGAAAUGGGCAGAUAUGCCAUUUUGUGAAGGAAAUCAAUUCUUUCUUCUUCCUUGAUUCUCUUUCUCUUCUCUCUUUUUCUUUCUUCCUCUAUUCUGUUGAAAUUAUGCAUCACUUCACCAGUAUUCAUCAUUGUGGACGUAUCUGAUCUUCAGUCUCUGGUUUACUGCCCAUGUAAAGUUAUGGAAAGAAAUGCAAAUUUAAAAGGAUUUCUUGCUAUAGUCUAUGCAAUUUCAUGUGUGCGUGAAAGGAGAUGAAGAUUAAUAGAGUAAUACUGAUAUACCAACAAUUCAUUAAUUGAAGUACUAUCAAUAUUAUCAACAAGUAACAGGAUUAAGUGAGUAUACUAAUAUAGUCUAGAAAAGCAAUUUAAUUAAUAAUACCAUAGGGAUGGCAAGAGGGUGAAGUUGCUAUUGCUAUUUAUAUCUCAGCUGCUAGCUUUUGACGACUUCACCAAGUAAACUGCAAUCACAAGUGUUGUUCUUAUUACCUGCAAAAACAGAGCCAACAAUCUGAAUCCAUAUCCCCAUUUUAGGAACAANNNNNNNNNNNNNNNNNNNNNNNNNNNNNNNNNNNNNNNNNNNNNNNNNNNNNNNNNNNNNNNNNNNNNNNNNNNNNNNNNNNNNNNNNNNNNNNNNNNNCCGUAUCUGACACUUAUAUUCAACACAUAUUCAUGUAUUGGUAUGAAGAUAUGAUAUUCUUAUCCUAUACUCAUAUCCGUGCUCAGGUAACAUAAACUGAACCCGCAAGAUAACUGAUUUAACAUUGCAUUGCUGCUAGCUAUUGAUGAUUUCACCAAGUAAACUGCAAUCACAAGUGUUGUUCUUAUUCCUUGAAAAAACACAGUCAACAAUCUGAAUCCACAUUCCCAUUUUCGGAACAAAACCAUGGCGUACCAUUUGUUUCAAAGCCCAAUCAACUUCCUUUACCAUCUUCCCCUUAUAAAAACCAUGAAUCAACUUCUUGUAUGAAUCAAAACUAGGAUUAACCCUCUCGAAAACCAUUCUCCCCAUAAUCUCCUUUGCUUCCAUAAACCUCGCAGCAUCAAGCAAACCAUACAACACCUCUUGAUAAGACCCUGCAUUGGGAUAACACCCUUUCUUUUUCAUAAUUUCCAACAGCUUCACACCUUCAUCAAUCCUACCUUGUUUCCUAAGACCUGAAAUCAAGAUAUUAAAGCUAACAGCAUCAGCAUCGAUUCCUUCCGUUUCCAUCCUCCCCAUCAACUCAAAAGCUUCAUCAACCUUCCCCUUAUCGCACAACCCGUGCAUUAAAGUAGAAUAAGUUCUAACAUUAGGCUUACACCUUUGUUUAGGAAAUUCAUCGAGCAGUUGGAAUGCAAACUCUAAUUUCCCAUUUUCACACAACCCUUUAAUGAGAAUAUUCAGAGUACAAGCUUCGAUUUCAACACCCAAAUUGGGAGGUAAACCUCGUGAACAACAUCAAAUAGUUUGUUCGAUACGAGUAAGCUCAAUACGAUAUUGAAGGUUUUAACACUAGGCCAAGUCCCAUAUUCUGGCAUACUAAAAAGGAUCUCGAUUGCCCUUUUGAUUCGANNNNNNNNNNNNNNNNNNNNNNNNNNNNNNNNNNNNNNNNNNNNNNNNNNNNNNNNNNNNNNNNNNNNNNNNNNNNNNNNNNNNNNNNNNNNNNNNNNNNNNNNNNNNNNNNNNNNNNNNNNNNNNNNNNNNNNNNNNNNNNNNNNNNNNNNNNNNNNNNNNNNNNNNNNNNNNNNNNNNNNNNNNNNNNNNNNNNNNNNNNNNNNNNNNNNNNNNNNNNNNNNNNNNNNNNNNNNNNNNNNNNNNNNNNNNNNNNNCAGCCAGUCUUUGUGGGUUAGUUUGAAAAGGGCAGGGGAAGUGGAGUGGGUUGGUUGAUGGUAGCUGGAAAAUGAGGAGAAAAACGAAAGGGGUUUAAGAGAUGAGAUUUUAGUGGCGAUUGGAUGGUGAAAAAGUGAGGGAAAAUUUUGGGGGUAAGAGCUUUUGACAGAAGAAAGAAGGGAACGUGAAAUCAUGCGUUUGGCCAUUGGAGAAUGUAGAAACUGGAGAGCUAAAAGCUUUGUGCUAUUCGCACUAUAAACAUAUAUAGGGUAAGGGACAGGCUUAAUACUUGUUUUGUCCCCUGUAAUAUAGUAAAAAAUCUCAUUUUGACCCUUUUCCUUUACUUUGUCUGUUUACUUUCAUUUCGUCCAUCAUGUUAGUCUAUUGAUCAUUUCCGUAAAUCCCAUGUGUUAGGGUUCCUAUAUUAUAGUAUUCAUCCAUAUACUUUAACCCUCCACGUAGUCGCAAUCAAUUGGCUUAAAUGAUCACACACGAGGAUCACUAUAGUAUAAGGACCAAAGUGAGAAUUUUAUUAUUAAUUAAGUGACAAAUACGUAAACAUGCACUAAUUUUUUUAUACAGAAAUGGUCAAAGAAUUAAAGUGAUAGAUGAAAUGAAAGUAAAGGGCGCAAAGUGAUUGGAAAAUUAGUAAAAGGUUGGAAAAUAUGAAGAGAUUGUAUGAUGCAAAACUUAAAUAAUUUAUCUACUGCAAUUUUGAGGUGUAUUAAUUUGAAGUAAUGAAUCAUUGUUAUUUACAACUAUAUAUUAUAUCUCUUUGAAAUGUACAAAUAAAUUAAUGGGCAGAAUGUUUAUGAAUGUCAAAACUUUAUUUUUGCUUCUUCUUCCCUUCAAGAAUUGGUUGGAUUUGGAGAUGCCAAUUGAAAGCCUGGUUCAAAAGGAAUCGAGUUUGGAAUGCCGAAAUGAUCGGAAGCCAUGCCAAUAUAGCAAUUGGAGAGAAAAGGAUCGAUCCCAUUCCGUAAUCAUAUGCCUUAGCUAGUACCUCAGUGAACUGCCAGAGUCCGGUGUUCUCAAUAAUUGGCCUCACAGCUUGAGCAACCUGAAGGGAACUAAAAUGUCAGAGGGAAUAAGGCAAAAGAUGUAAACUCUAGACAAAAACUAUAUGCCGAUCCUCUAAAUAUAUGAACAAAUUUAAAAAAAAAAAUUGGCCAUGCCCGUAUUUGAUACUUAUUGUUGAAUUCGAGUAACAUAGUCAACUAGACAUACCAAAAUCAGACCCCAUCCAGUCAGCAGAAAUGCAAGACAGCAGACAAGUAAAUCCUUGAACGACAGUUCACAGAUGACUGAGAGACUAAUAACAAUGGCCAAAAUCCUUUACAAUUGUUUGAUUCCUCAGUCAUAUUGCCUUGGAAUCUUCGGAAGUCAAGACAAGUCUAGCUCAUCAGCUUUGCCAUUCAUCUUGAAACUCCAAGCCAAUAUGUCGUGCGUGAACCCAGGCUAUAUAAACAAUGCAAAUAAAAUAUAUGAAAUCACGGUGUACUGUAAGUAUAGAGAUUAAAUUGUAAUAUAGUUUUAGAUUUAUAAUGAAAUACAAAAAUAUUUCAAAAAUCGUACUCAAAGAAAGUAUGAACUAAAAUUGAAUUAAACAUUAACAAAGAAUAUGCAAAACUAAGUCUAAAUAGCUACUUCCUUAAUUAUGAUAGUAUGAUUAAACAUAAAUUGAAAGUAUAAAACUGGUAGACAAAUCAAUGAGAAAUGACAAACAAUAGUUCAUUAAUAUCCAUGAUUGUAAUUAAUCUAGACUUAUUCUACCAAAUAAUCAAUUUAGUCCUCUUAUCUUUCGAGCUGAUGGAUCUAAAUGGGACAACUGAAUCAGUUCUAGAUAAAAUCUCCUUUCAAUCUCAUCUACUUAAAUUUUCAUCUAGAGUCAUCAAUUUGAUCCAAUUAAUCAACUCAAAGCCUAGAAUUAAAUUAACUAUUCUCACUUCAAUUAACCAACUUUCUCAAAAAUUUAGUUAAGACCCAUUCUAAUGAUACUAGACCCACUUAAUUCGUAAACCAUGAAUAAAGUUAAUGAUACGAAAGAAUAGAGUUGAGAGAUGCGCAAUAAUCCAAAAAUUUCUGAUUGUGGAUAUCUUCUUUGAGUAGCAACUGAAAUUCUCAUAACGAAAGCGUGAAAUGAAAAAAUAAAUAUAUUUUUAUUAAAAUGAGUAUGAAGCGAGUGAAAUGAAAAAGAAAGGAAAACGGAUAAGGCUCCGAUUAAAGUUACUUUAAACAAGUAAAUAUAUUUUAUUCAAAUUUAUAGUUUAUUAUAUUUAUCUGUAAUCCUCACUUUAAAAAAGCAUUCCAAAUAUGCUUCCUCACUAGAGGUAAUAAUGGGUUGGACGGCCCGGCCUGACGGCCCACCCGAAAUAUGGGAGGAUUUGGGUAAAAAUAUAAGCCCGAAAUAUGGGUUUGGGUAAAAAAUGAGACCCGUUUAGAAAACGGGCUGGGCCUUAGGCAAAAAGUUUUUGGCCUGGGCCGAGCCUGGACAAAAUUUUAGUCCCAUAUUUUGGGCCGGGGUAGGCCCAGGGAUAGGACGUAGGCUGAAAAUUUUUUUUGGGCCUUGCCCGAACCCAGCCCGGCUCGGCCCAUGAUCACCUCUGUUCCUCACCUUAUCAUUUUUGCUUUUUUUCAAGUGCCAUUAUAAUUUUUGUUAAUCUUUCUUUUCCCUUAAUUAAAGCUUGAUGACUUAUAUUAUAUAUAUCCAUUUUAAAGAAAAUGUCACUAAAUUAUUGCUUUCGUUCUGUUUUGGUUAUUAAAUUAUUAAUUUUUUCGAUUUCGUUACUAAAUUUUUCGAAAUUAAUUAUUUUGAUCACUUUCUCGUUAAUUGUCAUUAGAUAAGUGAGGAAAAGCUAACACAAGUUUAUUUUAUUGUUCAAAGUAAUCCCUAUAUAUUAAAUAAAAAUUCAAUUUAAUUAUUGAAUUAAACUAAAAAUUCAAAUAAACUCAUAAUAUUACAACUUUUUUAUUAUAUAUAAUAUUUCCAAAUAAUAAAUUUAAAUUUAUUAUGAUUAUCAAACUUUUGUUUCAAUAUACCUACUAUAGUAUAUUUUCACUUUUUAAAUUGAUUAUAAUUAUUUUUUAAAUGUUAAUUUAAUAAUACGAUAAAAAAAUAAAUGAUAUUUUUAUCGAUUUAAUUUUUUUAAACUUAUGCUUUUAUAGAUAUUAUAGAUGGAUUAUAGAUUAUAGGAAUAGGGUCUAAUGGCUAAAAAGAAAAAUUAUGUACCGGCUAUGUGAAGGCAUUAUACAAUGGAUCAUCAAAGUAGAAAGAUUAGUAUUAGAUAAAGUGAAAGUGAGUGUCCUCCACUCAUUUUACUUUUAAAAAAAAAAAUUUAAACAAAAAAGACUUUACUUUUGUUCUACGAACCUUUCUGUUUGUAGGAUUUCUGCACUCACAUCUUGAAAUCCAAAUUCAAGAUUUUAAAGAAAUUUCUGAGCUUACUCACUAUUAUGGCUUGGUCUGCUGUGACAUCUGCAGUGACAACAAUUGGCAACCUACUAACUCAGGAAGCCAUAUACCUAUGGGGUGUGGAGGAGCAAGUUAUGGAUGCAAAGCUCCUUAAUGGAGGCAGAGACAAAACAAUCAAAGGAUGAGAGGAUUCGUCUGUGGCUUGCUGAAAUCAGAGAGCUUGCUUAUGAUGCUGAGGAUAUUGUUGAGGAAUUUGCUCUCAAGAUUGGAUCCAAAAACAAAGGUGGCCUUCCGAGUUGUAUUAAAAGAUCAGCCUGCUGUUUGAAAGAGGGAUGGGUGCUCCAUGAAACCAGGUCAAAGAUCGAGAAAAUCAUAGAAAGAAUCAACGACUUGGUCCGGCGACUACAGGCCUACGGAGUAAAGGAAUUAAAGGACAGAGGAGAAGAAUCAAGUUUUUCAACUGAAAGACGAGAAUCAAGGCGGCCUUAUCCACAUAUUAUGGAUGAUAAUAUUGUUGGACUAGUUGAUGAUACCGAGGGAUNNNNNNNNNNNNNNNNNNNNNNNNNNNNNNNNNNNNNNNNNNNNNNNNNNNNNNNNNNNNNNNNNNNNNNNNNNNNNNNNNNNNNNNNNNNNNNNNNNNNNNNNNNNNNNNNNNNNNNNNNNNNNNNNNNNNNNNNNNNNNNNNNNNNNNNNNNNNNNNNNNNNNNNNNNNNNNNNNNNNNNNNNNNNNNNNNNNNNNNNNNNNNNNNNNNNNNNNNNNNNNNNNNNNNNNNNNNNNNNNNNNNNNNNNNNNNNNNNNNNNNNNNNNNNNNNNNNNNNNNNNNNNUUGAUGAUGUUUGGACCAGUGAAGCUUGGGAUAGUCUAAAACCUGCCUUUCCAGUUGCAACGGGCCGUGAUAGCAAUAGCAAGAUAUUGCUCACCUCUAGAAACAAGGGGAUAGUUUCAGAUGCUGAGAUAAGAGGUAAAAUUUUCUUAAUUAGGUAAAAUUGAAUACUCUUAUUCCUUUGAUGGAAAAUAACCAUGUAUAUUAUUUCAGAGUUGAAGUGCCUAAACGAUGAAGAAAGUUGGGAAUUGUUUCAAAAGAUUGUAUUUCCUCAAACAGGUAAAUAUACGUAUAGCAAAAUUCUUGUUAUAUGCUAAAUUUAUUUUUCAUUUAAAAUUUUUUUUUGGUGAAAGUAAGGACCUUAUCUUUGAUAUGCCUCAAAGUUAAUGUUUUCGAAAGCCCCCACAAAGAAGGGACACCCAAGUAGGCGUCCGAAUUAUUUGCCACCUCUAAGUUAGUCUCUUCUUGAAUCAACCUUUCGUUGUCCCUUUGGGAGUAUUCACACUAAAAACGUUGCUUGAUUUAUCAUAGUUGACCCUUCGUCCAGAAGCUGCACAAUAUUCUUGAAUCAAGUUAAUCAUUCUCCUACAAUUUAACGAACUAGCUUCCAAAAAGAAUAGAAAUCGUUCGUGAAUAACAAAUGUGACACUACUGGAUAAUGACUACUAAGGCUAAUCCCAGAAAUAAAACUAGACUCGACUCUAAUAAUAAUCACUACCCCUAGAACUCCUUUCAAUAUAUUCACCAUGAUCUUCGAUAUGAUUUAAUACUUAAAAUUACAAGGACUAAUUGACCUAAAUUAUGUCAUUAAUUCAAGACAUUUAGUUUUCAGAAUUAAAAUUAUUUCAAUCUCGUUCAAAAAUUUCCCUUCCCUUAAUAGCUUCCAAAACAUCCUUUUUAAUAAUUUCCCAAUAAUUAUUAUAGAAAAUCCCGUUAAAAUCAUUUGCAAAAAAAGAGAUUAAUUUAAUUGUUUUGUAUGCUUAACUUGUACAAUAUAAGUAAAAUCUUAUAAUUUUAUCUCCAAAUUCUCUCAACACAAUUUUCUGACCCUUAUUUAUAAUCUCAUUUGCAUCACACAGGAUAUCCAAUUUAAAAUUAAAUAAUUUUUUUUAUAUAAUUCUUUAAAUAUUAAAAGUAUUUUCCUCUAUUAUUUUUUUUUGUUGGAGUAUUAAAUAUUAGCCUUGAAACCAUAAGGCAGGAACUAUUCCAAACAACCCUUAAAAAGAUAUGUAAAUUUUGUUUUUGAAUAUCAUUUUUACUUUUUUAGAUUUCAAAUUGGAUAAUGAACUAUAUAUUUAUUCAUUCGAAACUCCUCUUAAAUUAGUGAGAGUGAAGUUUCUUAUUUAGUAUUGAUUGUUCCAUAAAAUUUUCAAAGUUUUCAAAGUUUUCAAAUAGAUUUAUUUUUUCAAGUGUAGUUAAUAACCGCAAUAAAAAUUAAACUUUAUAAGUGAUAAAUUUAUAUUAAAAAUUGUUUGAUAUAUUCAUAAAAUAUAAGUUUGAGUUCAUCUACUUUUACAUUUCUUUUACCUAUUUAAAUUAUUUCUUAAUUUUCCUUAUUUUUUAAAAAUUUAUUCUUAAUUUUUUAUAUAGGAAAUAUAAUCGACGUGGAAAUGAAAAAGUUAGGAGAGAACAUGGUUAAACAUUGUGCAGGGCUUCCAUUAGCCAUUGUUGUGUUGGGAGGAAUUUUGGCUACAAAGAAUAAUUCAUUAAACGAAUGGCAAAAGAUAUCUGACAAUGUAAAAUCAUACUUGAAGAGAGGCAAAAAUCAAGGACCAAAGGAUGUGUUAGCAUUAAGUUAUGAUGAUUUGCCUCCUUAUCUAAGACCAUGUUUCCUCUAUCUAAGCCAUUUUCCGGAGGAUUAUAUGAUAGAUAUGGAUAGAUUGAUUCAAUUAUGGGUUGCUGAAGGUAUUGUGUCAUCAAAGCAAGAAGAAAGAGACGGUGGGGAAAUUGCGGAAGAUGUGGCGGAAUCUUAUUUAAUGGAGCUUGUGGAAAGGUGCAUGAUUCAAGUACGAGAAAGAGAUGUGGCAACCUUAAAGGUCAAAACAAUUCAGAUGCAUGAUCUGAUGAGAGAUCUUUGCUUAUCAAAGGCAAAACAAGAAAAUUUUGUCUUCAUUGUCGAUCAAUCAAAUGCAUCUUCAUUAUCUAUGAUUCGGAAGGUUCGUAGGGUUUCUGUGCAUGAGUUUUUUUUCAUACAAUGCAUUAAAAGUCCAAAUAUUCGGUCAGUUUUGUUCUUCGAUGAGUUCUUUCCGGAGGAGGCAUUAGAAAAAUCUUUGCCCUUGGAAGUGUUGAAUUACGUUGAAGAACAUGUAGAUGAAGUUCGUAAUCCACUUGUUUGGAUUCUUAUGAUUUCGCUAGGUUGUACGAGACUUCUUAAAGCUCGGGGAAUUUGGAGAUACAUGUUCAACAACUUCAAAUUGCUAAGAGCCCUAAACUAUGAGAGAACAGGAGGUUAUCCUUUUGUAGGGUUUAAGUUACCCAGAGAUAUAGGAAAUCUCGUCCAUUUAAGAUUCUUGAGUCUAAAGGAUCAUGAGUUCUUAUGGCCAAAGUUGCCAUCAUCUCUACGCAACUUAAGGUGCUUGCAAACCUUGGAUUUAAGAGUUGGUUGUGGCAUAAUUCAUUUACCUAAUGUGAUAUGGAGGAUGGAGCAACUAAGACAUUUAUAUCUCCCUUUAAGAUGUAAAAGCAGUACUAAGUUGAAGUUGGGUACUUUGAGAAAACUCCUAACACUUGUGAACUCAACACCAAGAAUUGUUAUCUGAAGGAACUUAUGAACAUGACAAAUCUUAGAGAGUUGGAAAUAAAUUCGCCCUUCAAUAUUGAAAAUUUCAAUGAGACGGAGUUGGGCGAGAAUCCACCCAUAAUCGGAAGUAAAUGUCUUCAUUCCUUGUCUAUUAUUACCUCUGGGGACGAAUCAAUAGAUCCAAAACAUUUGGCCCAUCUCCUUUCAAAUUGUACAAGUAUUUGCAAGUUGAGUAUAGAAACAAGGAUAAGCGAGUUACCAGAGUAUCACUACUUCUCUUCACAUCUCGCUUAUAUAGGGUUGAGAUGGUGCAAGCUUGAGAAAGAUCCAAUGCCAACACUAGAGAAGCUGCCUAACUUAAGGAUUCUUGAACUCGAAAGUUAUUUCGAAGGAAAGGAAAUGUUUUGCUCUGCUCAUGGUUUUCCUAAACUUGAGUCUCUAAUCCUUACUGAGGUCAACAAUUUGGAGGAGUGGAAGGUGGAUGAAGGAGCCAUGCCUUCUCUUCAGCGAUUGGAGAUCAAGGGUUGCCUAGGAUUGAAGAUGCUUCCAGAGGGAUUGAGGUUCAUUACAACCCUCAAAGAACUGAAGAUUGAAUCAAUGCCAAAGGCAUUCAAAGAUAGAUUGGAGGAGGAAGGAGGAGAAGAUUUCUACAAAGUCAAACUUGUUUCUUCUAUCAUAUUCCAAAACUGUGGCUAAUAGAUUGAAGGAUAAUUGAGGGGUAAUUUCAUAACCUCUAGAUUAGGAAAUGAUUCCUACUUUCUUUGCUUCUUAUAUAUCUUCCAUUUUUGACAAUGUCUCACCUUCUCACUCCAUUUGUCUACACACGAAUGAAUAAUUAGAUUUAUUAAAAGUUAAAGGAAGUCGGACAUUGAUAUUUUUAGUUUUGCUUUUCAGGUAAAGAAGCCAUUUUUUCACCUGCUACUGCUAUUUACGGGAUCAAGUCUAGAUUUAAAACUCCUAUUAUAAGUUGCGUGUGAAAGUGUGUUAUAUGGUGAGGUUUGGAAUUAUCUUCUCUGUUGCAUAUAUCUAUGGUUGUUGACAUCAGACUGGUUGACUGUUUGUUGUUUUCUUCAAAUUACAAUAAAACGGUUGCAAGAUAAGGUAUGGGAAGAAUGGGAGGUGUCUGGAUUAGCAAGGUACCAAACCCCUCCUCCAUUUUAAUUUCCUUCAAUCUAAUUUAAUUACACAUUCAUUUUUGUCUUUUCAAACAUAAAAUUGCAGAUAAGGAGACGUCACUGACCUUUGCUCCGACAUAGCUUUGGUUUGCGUUGACCGUUCCUAUAUUUAUUUGUUAGCUUUGCUUUCUCUUUCUAUUUUUUCCCUACUUAAGUCUGCUUGAGUCUCCCUUUUUUUAUAUGUACUUUACCUAAUAUUAGAAGCCAAGGCAGGACCGUGCUUUUCUAUUGUAAAAUUCAUCACUUCGUUUGUCAAUGUUCAUUUCUACUCUUCAGUUUACUUAAAUAUAAUUGUUUGAUAUAUAUUUGAAUAUGAAGAAUAUAAUCUUUUUAAGAUAUACAUAUUUUAGAAAAAAUUGAAUAUAUGUAUGUCGGACACAUUUCCCGUUUCAACAUAUUUCCUUAUUUUAUGCAAGUCGAUUGGUAUUCAACAUACUCUUUUCCGUCAUCCUUAACUCAAUAAUCUUUGUUACGAUAUCAUAUCAGGUUUAAUAGUGGCAGUUCAUCCCCACACUUCCAAAGCCAAAAAUAGGAAAAAAAUUAAAUGUUACCAACUAAUAACACUUUCAAAUUACAUUGUCUUACAAAAAAAAAAAGAUACAAUUUGAAUUUUAGCAAGCUAUGCUUUAUAAAAGGCAAAGGAAUCUAAGGGAAUCUUUCAUUCAAGAUUUUGUAUCCUCAUGCCUUGCUUCUUAUAUCUACCAACAAUAUCUUUGUGAUAAUAAACUAAAAAAAAAACUGCAAAUCCAACUUAAUCGAUUGGAAAUUUCACAUCCACUUAAUUAUUUCAAAUGAUAUUUAUUCAAUAAGUUUAAAUUAAAAACUGUAAGAAUUUUCAUUUAUCUUUUAUUCAAAAUGUAAAUCGGAUUCAAUGAAAAUAUUGAACAUAUAAUGUGUGCACAUGGAAAUGUCCAAAUCGUUAAAUAUAGGGUCGACAUGAGAGAAAUCUCCUAAUGCCCAACGUUAAAUAUUUAUAAAAUUCAAUAUGAUCCUAUUAUUUUCGUUAUAAAACUCAAUAUCUUAUUCGGAUUAGGAUACAAGCGAAUAACAGAUAACUAUUUGUCGUUCAAGGUAUGAUAAAAUCUCAGUAGCUAAGAUAUGAAUGUUGCAAAAUACCAUACAAAAUCACAGCCACAUUUGUUAGUAUGGCUAUUUUGGGUAAUCAAAGGAAAAAAAUGUUAGCUGUUGAGCAAACAAGGUGAACAGAUUAGAUAUUCCAAUUACGUUCAAGCACUUGACAAAUCCUUUCUGCAAUGGCUUCAGCACGCAUCCUAGGACCUUCAUCAUCUGCAAAAAUCGACCAUUUCUAACAACUAAGCUAACAUCACACAUGAUAAUAUAUGUAUAUAACAUAUAUAGAUGAUGAUUAUGUGGAUUAAAAGCUAUGUUAGUUUGACUCAAUACAUGACCAUGGGACAUGCACGAUUCUUCAAUAACGANNNNNNNNNNNNNNNNNNNNNNNNNNNNNNNNNNNNNNNNNNNNNNNNNNNNNNNNNNNNNNNNNNNNNNNNNNNNNNNNNNNNNNNNNNNNNNNNNNNNUUAAAUACAUCAAUAUCUAACAUUUACAUCUGAGUUCGAGUAAAGUAAAACAUGUCAUUCUACCUAAACAUGCAAAAUAUCCAAGACUCUUGACGAAUGUUAGAUACAAAUAUGUAGAAUGUACCCAAAAUACCCAUCUCGAACUCAGUAGAGAAAUAUCUAGCACUCAAAAGGCACUAGCUUCAACCAAGAACAAGGAAGUUUCUUCAAAGGCUUGAUAUACUUUCUUCACGGCCAUAUAUAUGUGUGCAUAUACCCAUAUUAAGGACGAUUGUUUUGGCAAAGAGGAUGAGAAGAUAGAAAGAAAACCUUUAAUCCAAUGACAAUAUUUGAUUAUAACAACAUGACACAUAUAAUUGUGAUUAAAAUUGUGGUCACAAACAUGUUUGCAAUCACAUCAUGUUAACGAAUACUAUCGCAAUCAAUUGCAAUAAAUAUCCACAACAAGAAGAGCGAAAAUCCUAAAAACAACAAAGAUAAUACAUUACAGCUGUUAAAGAAUUUUCAAUAACAUAUAUACCUGCAAGAUUUUCAGUGAUGACACAACAAAGUUCACCACCAGACAACUUCCCGAUCUAAUGAAAUUUUCAAACAUAUCAUAAGUUUCAAGAUCAACUGAAACAUGCGAAUACUGUUGGUGUUAAGAGGUAACAGCAAGCUGAUUUGAGCUUGCUUAUACAGCAAGGCUCGAGGCUUGCAGAAGAAACAAUUGAAGAAAGAAACAGAAAAUGAAGCUUGCGAAUGGAAAACAGAAAAGAAAGAAAAAGUUUGAAUGAAAACAAGCUAAAAUUUUCAUUAAUUGUCAAAGAGGCAUAAUGCCAUUAUAUAUAUGAGUUAACAAUCACAAAAUAAACAAGUUACUACCUAAACUUAGACCUAACACCAUUAAUUUACAUUGAACUUGUUAAAUUUGCUUGAGUACAUAAACAAGUCACCUAAACUUGUCAUUCAGCACCUAAUUACAUCAAAAUGCAGCUACCAACUAAGUUUUAUUCAAACUAGAAUACAAAACAUUCAUUAAAGAAACUAAAUGAAACAAAAUAACUUCAGUUUGCUGCUUGAAGCACGUUCUCUGCAUGGCCACCUUGGCUGCUGCAUGGGGGCUGACUUCAACACUCUUCCUCAGCUUCUAUGCUGCAGACUCCUAGUUGCUUUCUUAGGCUUAGAAAUCUCGUUGUACCAAGAGACUUUGUAAAGAUAUCAGCAAUUUGAUUUUCAGAGCUGCAAUAAAUCAGCUCGAUCUCUCGAGCUUGUUCCAGUUCUCUUAUCACAUGCAACUUUAUGUUGAAGUGUUUUGUUCUGCCAUGAAAGACUGGAUUUUUGGCAAUUACAAUAGCUGACUUGUUGUCACAAUAAAUCUUGGUUGCUUCAUUAAAUUCAAAUCAGUGAGGAUUUUUCUUAGCCACAUAGCUUGAUUAACAACAUUAGCAGCUACUACAUACUCUGCUUCUGCUGUUGAUUGAGCCACCAUUGUUUGUUUUCUUGAACUCCAACAAAUCAUAGUUGAGCCAAGUGUAAAAGCAUAACUAGAAGUGCUCUUCAUAUCAUCUUUUGAACCAGCCCAAUCGCUGUCAGUGUAGUCAAUCAAUUUCAACUCUUCAGCCUUUUUAAAAUGUAUUCCAUGGUUCAAGGUACCUUUGAUGUACCUUAGCACCCUUUUUCCUGCUUUGUAAUGCUGCUGAUUACAACAAUGCAUGAAUAUUGACAGCAUGCUUACUGCAAAUAGAAUAUCAGGUCUCGUUGCUGUCAAAUAUAACAAGCAGCCAACAAGGCUUCUAUAAUCUGUUCCACUGAUAGGUUCAUGAUCUUCUUGACUCGAUAGUUUCAUGCCAACAACCAUAGGUGUGCUGGUUGGCUUGUAGUUCUCCAUUGAAAAUUUGGCUAGAACUUUCAAAGCAAAUGAUUUCUGUCCCAAGAAGAUUCCUUCAUCUGCUUGAUUAACUUCCAUUUCUAGGAAGUAAGUCAUCAAUCCCAGGUCUGACAUUUCAAACAUCUCCUUCAUUUUUGUUUUAAAAUCAGCCAACCUGAGUUUGUCUCCUCCAGUCACUAAAAGAUCAUCAACAAAAAGUGACACAAUGAGCUGUGUUUCAGCUCGAUUCUUUUUAACAUAGAGAGUUGGCUCACUGGCACUUCUUUCAAAUCCCAAACUGACCAGGUAUGAGUCAAUUCAAGCAUACCAGGCUCUAGGAGCCUGUUUCAGGCCAUACAGGGCUUUUCUUAGCCUAUACACCAAAUGUUCUUUACCAGGCAUUGUAAAUCCUGGAGGUUGCUCGAUGUACAUCUCCUCUUCCAACAAUCCAUUGAGAAAUGUAGACUUUACAUCCAUUUGGUGAAUUGUCCACUGAUUCUGAGCAGCUAGAGCAACCAGUAAUUUGAUUGUAUUGAGUCUGGCUAUUGGAGCAAAUGUUUCCAUGUAGUCCAGACCAUAUCUUUGACUGAAGCCCUUCAUAACUAGUCUAGCUUUCAACUUAUUUAAGCUUCCAUUUGCAUUGUGCUUUACUCGAUAGACCUAUUUUACACCAAUGAUCUUUCUGUUAGCAGGUUUCUCAACCAACUCCCAUGUUUGGUUCUUCUCGAUCAUGUUGAUUUCAUCAACUAUAGUGUGCUUCCAGCCUUCAUCUGCCUCAGCCUCUUCAAAACAGGUAGGUUCUGCUAUAGCAACCUGUGCCCUCUCAUAAAUCUCAUCUAGGGACCUUGUUCCUCUCACAGGUACAUCAUCAAUGUCUAUUUCAGGACUAAGCUGCUCGAAUUUAGCUUGAUUAGGCACCAGGUCUUCUGUAAGAGCUUCUAGCUCAUUCUUUUCCCAAUUCCAGCAAGCCUUUUCAUCAAAGAUGACAUCUCUGCUUACCUGGAUUUUGCUUGUGAGGGGAUCUAGGAUCCUGUAGCCCUUCUUAGUUGAGCUAUAGCCCACUAGGAUACUUGGUUGAGCCCUUUUUGCAAGCUUGUCCCUUUUUACUGCUGGUAUUUGUGCAUAGCACAGGCAACCAAACACCUUCAGAUGUGCCAAGGAAGGCUUGAAUCCAAACCAAGCCUCGAAAAGUGUCUUGGAAGCAAGAGCUUUGGUAGGAAGCCUAUUCUGGAGGUAGACAGCAGUGUUUACUGCCUCAGCCCACAUGCUCUUGGGCAGUUUCUUCUCAAACAGGAGGCAUCUGGCCAUAUCCAUCAGGCUUCUGUUCUUCCUUUCAGAUACCAUAUUCUGCUGAGGUGUGUACACAUUUGUUAGCUAGUGUUUGAUCCCAGCAUCACUACAAAUGGCUUGAAACUGAGCUGAAGUGUACUCAGUGCCAUUGUCUGACCUUAUCGAUUUUAGCUUGCAGCUUGUUUCUGUCUCAACAGUAAUUUUAAACUUUACAAACACUUGAGCUACCUCAGACUUGUGUUUCAAGAAGAAAAUCCAGCAAAACCUUGUAAAAUCAUCAAUGAAGAGGAUGAAAUACCUGUUUUUGCUAAGUGAUUCAGUCCUCAUCGGGCCACAUACAUCAGAGUGCACCAGCUGUAAUCUUUCAGUGGCUCUCCAUGCUGAAUUUGUAAGAAAUGGCAAUCUUGCCUGUUUUCCUAUCUGGCAAACUUCACACACAUCAUUAUGCUCCACUGAGUUGGUGAAGUUCUCAGCUAGACCCUCUUUGGCUAUUUGAGCUAUUGAUUUGAAAUUGGCAUGUCCAAGCCUUUGAUGCCAGAGCUUGGAAUUAUCAACAGAGGCUGUGUAUGCUGACUUUGAGUAAUUUGGCCAAUGAACCUCAAAGCAUUUGUCAGUCAUUGUGACUGUCAUAAGGCUUGAUCCACUUGGAUCAGCAAUGUGGCACUGUUUGUCCUUGAACACAACUGAAUAGCCUUUCUCGAGCAAUUGAGCUAUGUUGAGAAGGUUUCUGUCAAUCUCAGGCACCAACAGGACAUUUGAGAUGAUUUUGUUGCUUGUAGGAGUGCAUAACAUCACCUCUCCUCUUCCUUCAACCUUUAUAAACUGACCAUUUCCAACCUUGACCUUGGUUUUGCAACUUCUGUCCAAGGUUUUGAACAAGGAGGCAUCUGGUGACAUGUGGUUGGUGCAGCCACUAUCCAACAACCAGCCUUUAGAGCAUUUCUUCUCAGCAGCUAAGCAAGACACAGCAAAUACCUGCUCUUUUUGGUCACUACUGUCUUCAACCACUCGAGCUUUUUGCUUUUGACUGUUGAAAUUGGUUCUGCCUUGGUUUGGUUUUGUUUUUACACACCUUUUCGACAUGGCCCUUCUUUUUGCAGUGUUGGCAUACUACAUCUGGUCUAAACCAGCAUCUGUCUUCUGGAUGUCCUGGUCUCUUGCAAUAUCUGUAAGGCUGGUCACUGCUCCUUGCAGCAUCAGGCUUAGGCCUAUUUUUCCAGGGCCUUUUACCUCUAUGAGCAUUGAUGCUCGAGGCUUCUCUGGCCUUGGCUUGAAAUGCACCUUCCUGGUGAUCUUCAGCUCUGCUAGCUCUUCUUUGUUCCUGAGCAUAGAAAGUGUUAAUCAGCUCAGUCAAAGAGAUGCUAGCAAGGUCUCUUGAGUCCUCUAAGGAGGAUAUCUUUGCCUCAUGUCUCUCAGGCAAAGUGGAGAGGACUUUCUUCACGAUUCUUGCCUUAUCAAAGUGCUCACCUAGGAGCCUUAUGCUGUUAACCACUGCCAUGAUUCUAUCUACAUACUGCUUCAUUGUUUCUUCUUCCCUCAUCUUCAGAUUCUCAAAGUCUCUCCUCAAAUUCAACAGUUGUUGUUGCCUUGUCCUUUCUAUGCCUUGAAACUCCUCCUAAAGCUUAUUCCAGGCCUGUUUUGGAGUCUCAUAGGCCAUAAUUCUGGUGAAUAUGACAUCUGACACACAAUUCUGGAUGUAGGACAUAGCUUUGUGCCUUUUGGUCCUCUCAUCAGCGUGUUGUCUGAUCUGAGCUACUGUGAGAUUGGCCCUCAGUGGUGCUGGCUCAACAUCUGUGUUAACAACUUCCCACAGAUCAAAGGCCUGCAAGUAAGUUUUCAUCUUAACCAGCCAUACGUGGAAGCCUUCUCCAUUGAAGACUGGUGGGGCUGCUGGUGAAAAUCCUGAAGAAGCCAUCCUGGUUUUUUGGUUUGAUAUAUCAGGUCCACUAAGACAAGGGCUCUAGAUACCAAUUCUUGGUGUUAAGAGGUAACAACAAGCUUGUAAUGCCCAAUUUUAGCCCGAGCCCAAAACCAAAACAUACAGUCCAUUACAAAUAAAAUUAAUUACAGGCCCAAAAUACCCAACAGGCCCUAAUUAAGAAACCCUAGCCCAAAAACAUAAUUUUUUUUCAGUACCAAACCCUAGCCCCCCUAAGCAUGCGCCGCAUCCCCUUGUCGGCCACUCCCUCGCGCCGCCCCCACCAGUCCCGUCGCCAGGCCGCUCGUGCCGCCCAAGGUGCCCCUCUGUCACACUCCUUUUGACCGAAAUAGCCACCUCCAGACAGAAAAGCAAAAAGAAGAACAAUUAAAAUGAUAGCAAGGGUAGAAGAACAGUGAUAGCAGUUAAUCUUGGCUAUAAGAGCCACGGAAAUAUCAAUGUAAAGGGAGGACAGAUUUUUAGAGUUUGAAAAAAGGGUUCCGAAAAUUUAAAAACAGAAGAAAAUAAAAAAAUAGAUCUAUUCGAAAAGCAAUUUGCAGUUUCUAUUUUGUUCUCUUUUCUUUUGUUUUGAUACAAAAAACAACUUCAAGAACUCAAAAAAGAAAAAAACAGAUCUAAAAUUUAACAUUCCAAGGUGAUUUUAUUUUCGUUUAUAUUUCUUUUCCUUUUGUAUUUAUUUAUUUUUUUCUUUUUCAAAAGAACAGUUUAUAUUUGUGCAAAAAUCAUACAUAGAAAAAUAUAUAAAAAAAUUACCUUUUAAAUUUUUCAGGCCACCGUGCACGGUGGCCGGCGCGGCGGUGGAGCGGCGGCGCUGUUCACCGGAUUCUGGGCAGUGCCCAGAAUGGGGGAGAGGAAUUGAGAGCAUUUUCAGAAAUUUUUUGGAGAAAAGAAGGGAAGAAUGAAAAUUAAAAAUAAAAACCAACUUAAAUAGGCCUCCAAAACGACGUCGUUUUGGGCAGGCCUCUCAGGCACCAAAACGGCGUCGUUUUGGCUUUGACCCGAUUCGCCCGACCCGCUCCAGGCUAGGAUCCGCGUGUUUUUAGCGGAAGGGCUAAUUGCACUUUCAGCCCUUCCGCUUUAAAAUAAUUUUACAAUCAAGGCCCCUUUUGUUUUUUUAAAUUCGCACAGUAGUUUAUUAUUUUUACAAUUUGGUCCUAUGAUGCUGUGCGUUUUGGGAAAGAGGGAAAAAUUGCUCUCUUGAUCCCUUCUUGUUGUUUGCGCGUUCAGCUUUGUCCUUCCUCUUUUAUUUAUUUAUAGAUUUGGCCCCAAAUUUUGUUUUAAUAUCUAAUUUAGCCCUUCUUUGUUAUUUUGUUUGUUUUAUUAUUAAAUUAAUAAAUGAUAUGUUAUUAUUAUUGUUAUUUAUUAUUAGUUUUUAUUUUAUAUUUAUUUAUUUAUUCAUCAUCAUUAUAUAAAUUAGUUUUGCAUUACCUUUUAUAUAUUAUAUUAUAUUAUAUAUAUUAUAUAUAUUUUUUAGUUUUUUUAGUUUUUAUAUAUAUAUAUUUUUAUCUUACUGUAUCUUUAUUAUUUAUCAUUUACUUCAAGCUUUUCUAUGUUUUCUAAAUUAUUAUUAUUAUUAUUAUUAUUAUUAUUAUUAUUAUUAUUAUUAUUAUUAUUAUUAUGUUUAUACUCUUUUAAUUUUAAAUUCUUGUUAUAUAUUUACAUAUACAAACGCAUACUUUUUAUAAUAUAUAUGUACAUAUUUUAUUUUAUUUUAUUUUAUUUUGUGUGUAAAUAUAUACAUUUUCCCGAUGCAUAUACACAUACAUUUUAAAGUUAUUAUAAAUAUAUUUUAUAUUUCAUUUUUCAUACUUACACAUACCUAUAUCUAUUUCUACGUAUUUUAUUACACAUAGAUAUACGUAUACAUAUUUUUAAAUAUUUUUUAUAUUUUCAUAAUUCUAAAAUAUAUAUAUACAUGUAUUUAUAUAUUUUUAUUUCUUUUAUGGUUUCGUUAUUUCGCGCUGUGUUUAUUUUAUUUUAUUUAUUCAUGCCCACUUUCAUUCGAAUAGUGUAUUUGCUUAUUCUUUUGCAUGUUUAAUUCGUUUUUUAUUUAUUUAUCUUUUAUUUGUUGUUACUUGUAUUAUUCAUACUUACAUUAUCGAAUUUAUUAUUGUUUUGUUAUGAGCAUUAACAUCAUGUUUUAUUUCUACUAUUACACGUUAAAUUAUUUUUCAUUCAAUGUAUAAAUUAUGAUUUUUGAAUAAACAAAAUUUCGUGUUUAGAUUUGAGAAAGUCGUACCCUAACUUACUAGGUUUUGAUUUUCACAAUGAAUAUAAAUACGUGGAUCUUUUCAAACUCAAAUUUUCAACGAUCUCGGGAUUUAUAAAAGAUCGUAUCCUAACUUACUGGGUAUGAUCCCUUUUUUAAACCCGAGAUAAUUGAAUAGCUUUUAAAUAAUUUCUUCGGCAUUUAUUCUUGAAUCGGGAAUUUAAAGACAUUGUGUCCUAACUUACGGGAUAUAAUUCUUUUUCUUGAUUAUCGUGAAAAUGCCCUUCUCUCGAAAACUUUUAGCAUUUUAAUAAAAGAUCGUAUUUUUAAAUUUCUUCAAAGUUCUCAAUUUUCGACAUUAAGACAUUAAGUAAUCAACUAGGUACCAAUUUUGGGCGUUACGAGGGUGCUAAUCCUUCCUCGUACGUAACCGACUCCCGAACCCGUUUUCUAAAUUUCGUGGACCAAAAUCGUUGUUUUAAUAAAAUUAAACUGUUUAUUAAAAACAACCAGUUUUCGAGGCGAUCCAAUCACACCUCGUUAAAAAAUGAUUGGUGGCGACUCCCACAUUCGAUUUCAUUUUUUUAAAAACCCAAGUCGAAUCCGUUUUCACCCAAAAAAUGGUGUCAACAAAGCUGAUUUGAGCUUGCUUAUAUAGCAAGGCUCGAGGCUUGCAGAAGAAACAAUUGAAGAAAGAAACAGAAAAUGAAGCUUGCGAAUGGAAAACAGAAAAGAGAGAAAAAGUUUGAAUGAAAACAAGCUAAAAUUUUCAUUAAUUGUCAAAGAGGCAUAAUGCCAUUACAUAUAUGAGUUAACAAUCACAAAAUAAAUAAGUUACUACCUAAACUUAUACCUAACACCACUAAUUUACAUUGAAACUUGUUAAAUUUGCUUGAUUACAUAAACAAGUCACCUAAACUUGUCAUUCAGCACUUAAUUACAUCAAAAUGCAGCUACCAACUAAGUUUGAUUCAAACUAGAAUACAAAACAUUCAUUAAAGAAACUAAAUGAAACAAAAUAACUUCAGUUUGCUACUUGAAGCAUGUUCUCUGCAUGGCCACCUUGGCUGCUGCAUGAGGGCUGACUUCAACAGAUACCAAUUAUGAUAAGAAAUUAAAUUAAGGAUUUUCUACUGCAAGCCUACCACGAAAACAUAAUUUUUAUUAGGAUCAAAGGCGUAGCCCAUCAUGGCAGCAUUAUUGAGUCCAUUUUCAGAGGAAAAUCCUGAAACAUGUUACAGGCAAAUAUUAAGAAAAACAAUGCACAAGCAUAAGUACAAAAACAUAGCAUGCAAGAAAUCAAUACUUGAAAGGAUUAAAAUCACUGCUAACCUAAGACAUUGAAUCUAGCACCACUAGGAAACAUCCAAAAUGAUCCUUGUCUUUCAAUAUUGAGAUACAUACGUCCAAGUCUGCCAUGUUGCGCCAAACGGGAAUUCAUCAACCUCUUGAGAGCCUAAAGGAUGAAAAGUUCAAGUCCGAGUUAUAUAUAUACAGACACACACACAGAUAGACAUGAAGAAAGUGGGUUAAUGGUGUAUUAUUUAAGAAAAGAAAAAGUUGAAAUCUUGAACCUCUAAAUAUUGGGUAACAGCUAGUGUUAAAAGUGCAUAAAGUUCUGCUAUUAUCUACAAGAAACAAUGGAGGAAUCACAUACAUUGUUUAUAUUCACUUUUCUUGCUACACAAGCAAGCUGAGUCCAUAAACAAAGGCAUACCUUUUUCUCCGUUUUUAAAUGGUUUUCCUGUUUUUGGCUGCUUUUUAUAUUAAGAGAAAGAGAGUGUGUGAGACCUCGUCAUCCUCAAGGAGUAAGUGGUCAAGCACGAAGAUGAUGGGAAGACCACGAGUCUAUGGUGGUCGAUCCAUGAGUUGAUUAUGAGUAGCUUCAUGUUAUGAAGUAAAAAUGUUAGCUAAGUUAGUUGAGUGCUGUGUUUUAGGGCUGAGGGCUUAAUGAAACUAUAAGUUUUGAUGUUGAAUGAAAACGGUGUGUAUUGACGGUUUGUUACAACUGCUCGAGGAACAGCCCUAUAACAGACUUUGUAACUGCCAAUUCGCAGCCAUAAUAGAAACCGGCAUGGGAAAUGAGCAGAUAUGCAAUUUUGUGAAGGAAAUCAAUUCUUUCUUCUUCCUCGAUUCUCCUUCUCUUCUCUUUUUCUUUCUUCCUCUAUUCUGUUGAAAUUAUGCAUCACUUCACCAGCAUUCAUCAUUGUGGACGUAUCUGAUCUUCAGUCUCUGGUUUACUGCCCAUGUAAAGUUAUGGAAAGGAAUGCAAAUUUAAAAGGAUUUCUUGCUAUAGUCUAUGCAAUUUCAUGUGUGCGUGAAAGGAGAUGAAGAUUAAUAGAGUAAUACUGAUAUACCAACAAUUCAUUAAUUGAAGUACUAUCAAUAUUAUCAACAAGUAACAGAAUUAAGUGAGUAUACUAAUAUAGUCUAGAAUUAAGUGAGUAUACUAAUAUAGUCUAGAUUUAUAAUGAAAUACAAAAAUAUUUCAAAAAUUGUACUCAAAGAAAGUNNNNNNNNNNNNNNNNNNNNNNNNNNNNNNNNNNNNNNNNNNNNNNNNNNNNNNNNNNNNNNNNNNNNNNNNNNNNNNNNNNNNNNNNNNNNNNNNNNNNNNNNNNNNNNNNNNNNNNNNNNNNNNNNNNNNNNNNNNNNNNNNNNNUUUAAUAUCCAUGAUUGUAAUUAAUCUAGACUUAUUCUACCAAUUAAUCAAUUUAGUCCACUUAUCUUUCGACCUGGUGGAUCUAAAUGGGACAAUUGAAUUAGUUCUGGAUAAAAUCUCCUUUCAAUCUCAUCUACCUAAAUUUCCAUCUAGAGUCAUCAAUUUGAUCCAUUUAAUCAAUUCAAAACCUUAAAUUAAAUUAACUAUUCCCACAUCAAUUAAGCAACUUUCUUAAAAAUUUAGUUAAGACCCAUUCUAAUGAUAUCAGACCCACUUAAUCCGUAAACCAUCAAUAAAGUUAAUGAUAAGAACGAAUAGAGUUGAGGGAUGCUCAAUAAUUUGUGGAGAUCCUCAUAAUGAAAGCGUGAAAUAAAAAAUAAAUAUAUUUUUAUUAAAAUGAGUCAGAAGCGAGUGAAAUGAAAAAGAAAGGAAAACGGAUAAGGCUCCGAUUAAAGUUAUUUAAACAAGUAAAUAUAUUUUUAUCCAAAUUUAUAAUUUAUUAUAUUUAUCUGUAAUUCUCACUUUAAAAAAGCAUUCCAAAUAUGCUUCCUCACCUUAUCAUUUUUGCUUUUUUUCAAGCGCCCUUAUAAUUUUUGUUAAUCUUUCUUUUCCCUUAAUUAAAGCUUGAUGACUUAUAUUAUAUAUAUCCGUUUUAAAGAAAAUGUCACUGAACUAUUGCUUUCGUUUUGUUUUGGUUAUUAGAUUAUUAAUUUUUUUGAUUUAGUUACUAAAUUUUUCGAAAUCAAUUAUUUUGAUCACUUUCCCAUUAAUUGUCAUUAGAUAAGUGAGGAAAAUUACUUUCUCAUUAAUUGUCAUUAGAUAAGUGAGGAAAAGCUAACACAGAUUUGUUUUAUUGUUCAAAUUAAUCCUUAUAUAUUAAAUAAAAAUUCAAUUUAAUCCUUGAAUUAAACUAAAAAUUCAAAUAAACUCAGAAUACCACAACUUUUUAUUAUAUAUAUUUCUUUUUCCAAAUAAUAAAUUUAAAUUUAUUAUGAUUAUCACAACUUUUAUUUCAAUGUAACUACUAUCAUAUAUUUUCACUUUUUAAAUUGAUUAUAAAUAUUAUUUAAAUAUUAAUUUAAUAAUAUGAUAAAAAAAUAAAGGAUAUUUUUAUCUGUUCAAUUUUUUUUAAACUUAUGCUUUUAUAGAUAUUAUAGAUUAUAGGAAUAGGGUCUAAUGGCCAAAAAGAAAAAUUAUGUACCGUCUAUGUGAAGGCAUUAUAAAAGGGAUCAUCAGAGUAUAAUGAUUAGUAUUAGGUAAAGUGAAAGUGAAUUGAUUAAGUCCUCCAAUCAUUUUACUUUUAAAUAAAAAAAAAUUAAACAAAAAAACUCUACUUUUGUUCUACCUACCUUUCUGUUUGUGUUCUCAUUCUAUUAAUUAAGUACUGCUUCUUGCAAUUGUUUUCCCAGCAAGAUUGCGGCACACACAUCUUGAAAUCCAAAUUCAAGAUUUUAAAGAAUUUUCUUAGCUCGAUCACUUUUAUGGCUUUUUCUGCUGUUGCAUCUGCAGUGCAACAAUUGGCAACCUGCUAACUGAGGAAGCCAUAUACCGAUGGGGCGUGGAGGAGCAAGUUGAUCGUCUGCAAACAGAGCUCAAUUGGAUGCAAAGAUACUUAAUGGACGCAGAGACAAAACAAUCAAAGGAUGAAAGGAUUCGUCUUUGGGUUGCUGAAAUCAAGGAUUAGGAAGGUACGAAACACCUCCACUUUAAUUUCCUUCUGCUUAAAUUAGAUGUUUUAAGUUAAUUUUUAGUUUUGAACAUGUUAAAUUGCAGGAUAAUGAGACGCCACUGACCUUUAUUCGGAUGUAGCAUUGCAUUUACAUGUUUGGUUUGCAGUGACCAUUCAUAAAUUUUGCUGUGACUACCCUGUUGCUAGUUCUUUUUUCCUACUUCGAUCUGCUCAAGUCUUUUAUGAUAUAAUUAAAUGUAAAAAUAUGUAAUAGUAGAAGCCAAGACAGGAUAUUGUAAAAUUGAUCAUUUUGUUUUUAAUGACCAUUUGUUCUCAUCUUUUUUCAUUUUUCAUAAAUGUGUCCAAUAUAUAUUUAUUGAAUAUAUUUAUGCUGGACACAUAUCCUAAUGUGGUACACUAAAUCUGAGUCAUAUUGUGCAAUAUUGGUGAAUUACUAGUUGGUGCAGAAUCAUAUACAUCGAUGUUCUGUCAUUUGUUGAAGAUAAAAGAUCCAAAGCCUCCAUUAUUAAAAUGAAAAAAAGAAAGAAAAUUGGAUAUUCGUUUCUUUCUAGAUUUAGAAUAUAGAUAUUUGUAAUAUUGAGAUGAUAAACGAUUAAUAAAUGGAUUAAAUAGGAUCUAAUGUCUAAUUACAAUCCAAGAGGAACAGGCUCCUGCCGCCAUAAAAAAUUCCAUAAUUACUUAUUUUAUUGUAUUUUUUGAUAACACAUUGAUUAUUGCAUGGAACAUUGGUUAAGAACAAAAUAGGAACCAAGAACAAACAAUGUCUUCAAACAUAUUAAAAUGACAGCUCCAAAUCCUUACUUCAAUUAUUGUUGUGUUGGGUUUAUUUUGGAUUAGCUAAUGGAAAUAAUUGAAGCUCAGCAUGACAGCAAAUCAGGUUCUUUUUCUUCUUCCUCUGUCCUUUCUCUCUAUUUAGAUACAUGUUCAUUUCGUGUUUAUUGCAGAUGUUGUCUGAAUGAUUUCUAUGAAUAUUAAUGGCAGCAAAGCUGAAACCGUAAAAUAAUGAUCCAGUAAAGUUGGUGUUUCAGUUUCUAUUUAAAUCGCAAACAACUUCCCUAUUAAUCAAACAAAUGCUCUAAACUUGAAUGUCAUGAACAUGUCAAAAAUCAUACCUUGUAGUCAUGUAUGAAUGUGAGGAAAAGUGAAGAACAGAGAACCACAGGCCACACCUGUCAUCAAUGUGUUAUAACAACAUCCUUAACAUCAUAAGCAAGCUCUUUAAUAACAAUGAAAAUUAACCAUAAAACAAAAUUGAAGGGAACUUUAAAAUAUUUUUUAAUAAUAACUUGGGAAGUACUUUAAAUGUGAAAAUUGGGUGUUUACCCAAAUGAUGAAUGGAUGUCUCCUAGGUAAAACUCCCACAAUCUAAUGGUUACAAAUUAUAUAAGUGUACAAUCGGAUUGUGGUUUCUAGAAUGUUUUAUAAACUAAUAAAUUAAAAAUUAUUUGGUGAAUUAAUAAAAUAUAAGUGUUCAAUAUAAUUGUAUAAUUAAUAUUUUUGGGUUCAUCUAUUUUUACUAUGUGCUUUUUUAAAAAAAAAAAAUUUUGGUUUAACUAUUUUUACAUUUCUUUUAUUUACUGAAAUUCAUUUUUAAUUUUCACUAUUCUUUUAAAUUUAUUUUUAAUUUUUUAUACAAAUAAUAGAAUCGAUAUGAAAAUGAAAGAGUUAAGGAAAAACAUAGUUAAACAUUGUGCAAGGCUUCCAUUAGCCAUUAUUGUAUUGGGAGGAAUUUUAAUGUGUUAACUUUAAGUUUCGAUAAUUUAUCUCUCUAUCUAAGACCAUGUUUCCUCUAUUUAAGUAUACAUAUUUUUUUAAAAUAUAUUUUCAAUUUUUUGGAAAAUAUAUAUUUUUAAUAUUUUUAGUAUUUUUGAUGUAUUUUUUUAAAAUUUAUAUGAACCGGACCGCGUUUUAACAUUUUUAUCCGGACCGAACUUAGAAAAAAUUUUAGAUCCAUUUUUUAUGCCAAACCCAAGUCUAACAAAUGGACCUAAAAUUUUAAUUAGGCACGGCUAUGAACACCUCUAAUUAUUUGUAGCUAAAAUUCCCUGUAAGUUCAAUACAAUUUACUAAAAAUUUCAGUUGAUUUACUUGUUAUAUUCAUCACCUAAAUAAAUCAACAAAUAAAUGACGAAUUAUCCCUCUAAGCUGCAAUAUGAACCUUCCAUCAAUUGUCUCUAGGUUCAGUCAUUUUAUUACAUAAGUAUUCUUAAUUAAAAAAAUAAGGAAAAAAUGUAAUUUAUUCUAAUUAAUUAUUGAGCAAAAAUAAAUAAAAGAAAUUGUUAGAGCCUCAGUUUGUUCUUCAAUUAAAAUAAAAUAAAAUAAAUAAGGAUAAUAAUUUUUAAAAAUAAAUAAAAAUUAAAACAUGAGAAAAUCAAUAUACAUUUUUUAUACUCACUAGUUUUGUUGUCAAGAACUGAAAAGCACUUCAAUUCCUUGUAUCCGAAUACAUAUCCUUUUAAAAUUUAUCGAAAAAUAUUUAUUUUAAUGUAACUUAAAAGAUAACAGCCUGGAUUUGAUUAUCAAAUUAAAAAUUCAAAUAAGUUUACAAUAUUAUCAAUUUUUUUUAAUUUAUAUAUAUAUUUCCAAAUAAUAAAUUUAAAUUUAUUAUGAUAAUUACACCUUUUAUUUUAGUAUAACUAUCAUGAUAUAUUUUUUUCCAAUUUUUUUAAAAAUUUAUUAUAAUUAUUUGUAAAUAUUAAUUUAAUAAUACCAAGAAAAAUAAAAGAUAUUUUUGUAAAUAUAUAUUUUUUUAAAUUGGUACUUUUAUAUAUAUAAUAUGGAUAGAUUAUAAAUAUACAUUGUACAUGGUGGCAAAAAAAAAUGUUUAUAGGGUAUAUGUAAAGGCCAUAUACUAUGGAUCAUCAAAGUAUAAAGAUUAGUAUUAGAUAAAGUGGAAGUGAGUUGAUUAAGUCCUCCACUCAUUUACCUACGUACUCUUCCUUUUUUCUAAUUAAAUAAGACUGAUUAGAUACUUUUAAAUAAAAUACUUUCCUAGUCUUCCUUUUUUUUUUCCCACUUUUAUUUAGUGUUAGAUAAAGUGGAAGUGAGUUGAUUAAGUCCUCCACUCAUUUUCCUACUCUUCCUUUUUUCUAAUUAAAUAAGACUGACUCUAUACUUUUAAAUAAAAUACUUUCCUAGUCUUCCUUUUUUUUUUCCCCACUUUUAUUUAGUGUUAGAUAAAGUGGAACUGAGUUGAUUAAGUCCUCCACUCAUUUUCCUACUCUUCCUUUUUUUUCUAAUUAAGUAAGACUGACUAUAUACUUUUAAAUAAAAUACUUUCCUAGCCUUCCUUUUUUCCAAUUUUAUAAUCAGCAGAUCAAGAAAGAAGUAUUGAUUUUGGGAAAUUUGUUAGUUUAGUGUUCCUUUUCACUAUUUUUAAAAAGUAUUGUAAAAAUGGUAAUUUUGAGGAGUACUUUUAGAAAGUUUAGUUUAAGAUUUAAGUAUUUAGUAUUACUGUAAAAAAAUACUUUUGAUAAAUAAAAUAUCUAUUUUAGAUAUUAUGUUAUAAAGUAAAAAAUAUGUAUUUAAAUAAUGUUUAAAUUAGUUAAUAUUAUGAUAUCUUAGUAAGAAUAUAAAAAUAAUUUAUUAUAAUUUGUUGUUAAUAUUUUAAUAUAUGAAAUAUAAAUUUUAAUUUUUUUAAGUAACUAAUAUUAAUUAUUCAUAAAAUCUAAUUCGAAUAUAUAAACAAUAUUUUAAAUAAUAAAAUAUGAUCAAUAAAAAUUUAAAUAUAUAUCACAACUUUUUUAUUUUAUAUAUAUUUCUUUUUUCAAAUAAUAAAUUUAAAUUUAUUAUGAUUAUCACAACUUUUGUGUCAAUAUAACUACAAUCAUAUAUUUUCACUUUUUAAAUUGAUUAUAAUUGUUUUUUAAAUGUUAAUUUAGUAAUAUGGUAAAAAAUAAAUGAUAUUUUUAUCAGUUUAAAUUUUUUUUAAAAAUUAUGUACUGUCUAUGUGAAGGCAUUGUACAAGGGAUCAUCAAAGUAUAAAGAUUUGUAUUAGGUAAAGUGAAAGUGAGUUGAUCAAGUCCUCCACUCAUUUUACUUUUAAAUUAAAAAAAUUUUAAACAAAUAAACUCUACUUUUGUUCUACCUACCUUUCUGUUUGUAUUCUCAUUCCAUUAAAUAAGAACUGCUUCCUUCAAUUGUUUUCCCAGCAAGAUUUCUGCACUCGCAUCUUGAAAUCCAAAUUCAAGAUUUUAAAGAAAUUUCUGAGCUCACUCACUAUUAUGGCUUGGUCUGCUGUGACAUCUGCAGUGAUAAAUAUUGGCAAGCUGCUAACUGAGGAAGCCAUAUACCUAUGGGGUGUGGAGGAGGAAGUUGAUCGUCUGCAAACAGAGCUCAAAUGGAUGCAAAGAUACUUAACGGACGCAGAGACAAAACAAUCAAAGGAAGAGAUGAUUCGUCUUUGGGUUGCUGAAAUCAGAGAGCUUGCUUAUGAUGCUGAGGAUGUUGUCGAGGAAUUUGCUCUCAAGAUUGGAUCCGAAAACAAAGGAUGUCUUCCGAGUUGUAUUAAAACAUCAGCCUGCUGUUUGAAAGAGGGAUGGGCACUCCACAAAACCAGGUCAAAAAUCGAGAAAAUCAUAGAAAGAAUCAACGACUUGGUCCGACGACUACAGGCCUACGGAGUAAAGGAAUUAAAGGACAGAGAAGAAGAAUCAAGUUCUUCAACUGAAAGACGAGAAUCAAGGCGGCCUUAUCCACAUAUUAUGGAUGAUAAUAUUGUUGGACUAGUUGAUGAUACCGAGGGAUUGGUCAAAGUUCUUACGAACGAAAGUCGAUGCCAGGUUGUUACAAUAUGGGGCAUGGGUGGUCUGGGAAAGACCACUCUCGCCAAGAAAAUAUAUCACGAUCCUCAGGUUAGAAAUUAUUUCGAGCACUUCGCUUUUGUAUACGUUUCUCAACCAUGCCAGAAAAGAAAAGUUUGGGAAGACAUUCUAUCUGGUUUCAAAACUUUAAAGGACGAGGAUAGGAAGAAAAGAGAUGAAGACUUAGCAGAGAAGUUGUGUAACAUUUUGGAGGUUAAAGAGUGUCUGGUGAUACUUGAUGAUGUUUGGACCAGAGAAGCUUGGGAUAGUCUAAAACCUGCCUUUCCAGUUGCAACGGGCCGUCAUCGCAAAAGCAAGAUAUUGCUCACCUCUAGAAACAGGGGGAUAGUUUCGGAUGCUGAGAUAAGAGGUAAAAUUUUCUUAAUUAGGUAAAAUUGAAUACUCUUAUUCCUUUUAUGGAAAAUAACUAUGUAUAUUAUUUCAGAGUUGAAGUGCCUAAACGAUCAACAAAGUUGGGAAUUGCUUCAAAAGAUUGUAUCUCCUAAAACAGGUAAAUAUACGUAUAGCAAAAUUCUUGUUAUAUGCUAAAUUUAUUUUUCAUUUUUAAAUUUUUUUGACAGUAAUUGAAAUUAAAAAUAUAUAAAAUCUAUUUUAUUUCAAAAUUUCAAAACCUUAAUAUCAAAUAAAUAAAAGAAAUCAAGCCUUUGUAGUUUAUCAAUUAAUGGUACACGCACCUAAAUAUAAUUAAUAGGUAAAUUCAUUAUCUUUAUUAUUAUAAUUUUUUAAUAACUUUGCUAUUAUUUACGGGGAAUAAAUUACAUUAGGAUUAUCUUAAAAGAUAUAGUUUUUAGGCACCAAUAAAAUAGUGUCACAUCGUUAAAUUUUUAAGAUAACAAAGAAUUAUUAUACACUCAUUUAUAUUUAAUAUUUUCUCCAAUUUAAUUUAACUUUAAUAAAAUUAUUUAAAAUAAUUAAUUUUUUAAAUUAUAAACAAACAUCUUUUCUUCUUUUACAAAUUUUAAUCAUUUUGUUUUUUCAUAAGUUAAUGUUUUUUAUUUUUGUGCAACCAAUUUUUUUUUAAAAAAACAGUAAUUUUUGUGCAAUGUUUUUCAUAUCAUUAACACAUAAUUUUGAUAAUUAUUUUAUCCUGAAGCCAAAACUCCGAACCUUGAACUCGAACCCUGAACCUAAAUCUUGAACCCUGAAUCUUGCAGUUAAAGGUUUGGUUUCUAGAUUUAAAGUUCAAAAUUCGAGGUUCAAGUUUAAAGUUUAAGGGUUCAGGGUUAUGGGUUACGAAUUUAGGAUUCAUGGUUUAAGGGUUUGGGGUAGCGAGUUUGGGGUUUUAUAUGUUUGUUUAGUUUCUUAAGCACUUUCAUGCUAUUCUUUUAUAUGUUUUUUUUUCUUAAGAAAUACAAAUUGAUUUUAUAAUUUAAAUUCAGGACUCAAACAUCACUUAAUUAAAAUAAUAAUUAAUCAAUUCUCGUUUUUUUUUUUGCCACAAAAACAUUCAUUCCAGAAAGAAUAACCAGACAUAGGAAGUCUAAAACACUAAACCAGAUAAACUAACAUGAAAAAAGCACAGUAUUCACUAAGCUUAUCCUGGAUCCUUGCAUCAGAAAGAUGGAGGCGCAGGUAAACCAUUCUUAUUAAGAGUAAAGCCAAGAAAGAUGGUAGUUGAUUCGAACAACCAACACAUCUCUUUACGACCCUAUUUAGCAAACCAAUCCGCUAACUUAUUGGCUUCUCGUCUAAUAACAUUGACUUUCAAAGAAGAAAGUUGCAUGACCAGCUUAUCAAAAACCUGAAGGACUAGCCUUAAUCUCCAUCUUCGAUCUUGACUCUUCUCAAUAUUCGAAAAAAUAGUCUGGGAGUCAGUCUUGAUUGUCACAUUGCUCCACUUGUUCUUCAUAGCUAAUUCAAUCCAUCCAACCAUAGCUUUAGCCUCGACAACCUGACAUGAAUCCACUUAAUCCUUUUACCAAUCCCAUCCAGCAUCUUCCCACUUAAAUUUCUGCCUAUUACUCUAAUACCAGCACAAGCUAUCAAGGUGUCAAAUGCCCCAUCACAAUUUAACUUUAACCCAACCUUCUGGUGGUUUCUCCCAAAUAUCAGCACAAGUUUUUGACUUCCUAGUUCGAUCAGAGUUAUUGUUUGAACAGAGGAUCCAUUGAGCAGAUAAGAAUUCAUUCAUGGAGCAAUUAAUCCUUCGAAUAAUUCUCUCCAAACCAAGUUUCACACCUCCAAUUGUAACCUCACACCUAGCUUUGCAGAUGUGCUAGCAAGUGAAAACAAUUCUAACUUUGAAAUCCUCCCUCAUACAAGGCAUUUGUAACAACUUUGAGAACCAUCUGUCAAAUGAUUGAGUUUGAUCAUUUAUCCCUUGAAGACCAAAACAAGCCUCAUACUAUAUUCCCCUAAGAAUAAUAUGUUCAAAGUCUCAUCUUUUCCACGGAUUAAAAUGAGAUGGAAUAGCAUUAUGACACAAUUUCCAUAAGAAAAUUUUAACUUUGUUCGGUACCUGUAAGCUCCAAAUAGCUUUCCAAGUGCUCCUAUCAAUUAAGUGAGAGCUGGAAGGUUGUAAAGAAGACUCAUUUCCAUAGUGCUUUCUCAACUCCUUGUACCCUGACUUCAUCGGAUAUUGACCAACAGCUGUAAACGGCCAUACCAAUUUAUCUUGUUCAUUUGUUUCGUGAAGGGGAACUUUUAAUUUCGCAAUUUCAAUAUCUUCUAACCACAUUGAGAUACUGGGUAAGUCCCAAUUUAGUUGUUCUAAACAAAUGAUCUCAGCAACUCGUGUUGGUGAGGAUCUGUCAAUAUUUCCAGGAUGCUUUAAUUCCCUAUCUUUAACUCCCAGCAAUCAUCUAUCUUCCCAAAUGCAGAUGCUUUCGCCAUUUUGCACUUGCCAAAUCAAAGUCUUCUUUUAAAAACUCUUUCCCUUCAAGAAUGCUACUCCACACCCAUGAUGACCUAGCUCCUUUUUUAGCUUCAAGGAAAUUAGAAUUCGGGAAAUAAAGUCCUUUUAAAAUCCUACCCCAAAGAGCAUCAGGAUCCUGGACUAACUGUCAAGAUUGUUUUGCAAGUAGAGCAAGGCCUCCAAGCUUUUCAAUGAAUACGUCUCUCAUUUUCCUUCUGCUGAAUUCAUUUCCACGCAUAAGUUUUUAGGAAGUUCGAAAAGAUAUCGUAUACAUUGAAGCGCAUGCUACUGCUUUAAUAAGAACCUCCCUUCCCCUUCAAGAUAACGUUUGCUGCUUCCAGCCCUAAAGUUUGGUAAGGACCUUUUUUUUUUUUGGUGAAAGUGAGGACCUUAUCUUUGAUAUGCCUCAAAGUUAAUGUUUUCGAAAGCUCCCACAAAGAAGGGACACCCAAGUAUCAACCUUUCGUUGACCCUUCGGGAGUAUUCACAGUAAAAACAUUGCUUGAUUUAUCGUACUUGACCCUUCGUCCAGAAGCUGCACAAUAUUCUUGAAAGUUCAUCAUUCUACUACAAUUUAACGAAUUAGCUUCCAAAAAGAAUAGAGAUCGUUCGCGAAUAAAAAAUGUGACACUAUUCGAUAAUGACUACCAAGGCUAAUCCCAGAAAUAAAACUAGACUCGACUCUAAGGAUAAGUUUGGAUUGGCAAUUGGGUGCGAUGCGGUGCGUUUAGCCUACUUUUUGUCUCAAGCUACAGUGUUGCUACAGUAUUUAAUCUCACCGCCACCUCUGUUUUUACACUAACCUCAGGUAAACGCACCGCCCAUCCUAACUCACCUUAAGGCUAAUUAUAUGAGAGAGGAUGUUCACAACAAAAAGGAAGAGGUAAGGUGAUAGAGGGUCACCUUCUAGAUGGAUAGAUUUUUCUAUUAGAUUUACCAUUAAUAAGCAAAGUGUAAGAAACAUUCCUCACACACUCCAUUAUCCAAUCAAUCCAUGUUAAAGCAAAUCUCAUUUUUCUUAAAAUAGUUUUCAGAAGUCCCCACUCUACUCUUUCAUGUCGAGCUUCCAAGCAACCUCAUAUUUCUUACCCCUCUUCUUCAAUUUCAAAUGAUGAAAACCUCUUGAGCAAUUAAGAUGUUAUCAUGUAUUUGUCUACCUACCACAAAAGCACUUUGAUUAUUCAUAAUCACUACCCUAGAACUCCUUUCAAUAUCUUCACCAUGAUCUUCGAUAUGAUUUUAUAGGCAAAAUUAUAAAAAUUAAUUAGUCUAAAUUAUGUAAUUAAUUGAAAACAUUUAGUCUUCAGAAUUAAAAUUAUCUUAAUCUCAUUUAAACCCAUCGAAAAUUUCCCUUCCCUAAAAAAAAAACUCUUAAUAGCUUCCAAAACAUCCUUUUUAAUAAUUUCUCAAUAAUUAUGAUAGAAAAUUCCGCUAAAAUCAUUCGCAAAAUAAGAGAUUAAUUUAAUUGUGUUGUAUGCUUAACUUGUACGAUAUAAGUAAAAUCUUAUAAUUUUAUCUCCAAAUUCUCUCAACACAAUUUUCUGACCCUUAUUUAUAAUCUCAUUUGUAUCUAACAGGAUCCAAUUUAAAGUUAAAUAGUCUUUUUUAUAUAAUGAAUUAUAUUUUUAUUCGAAUCUCCUCUUAAAUUAAUUAGAGUCUUACUUAGUAUUGACUGUUCCGUAAAGUAUUCAAAGUUUUCAAAUAGAUUCCUAUUUUUACAGUUCUUUCACGUACUUAAAUUAAUUCCUAAUUUUCCUUACUUUUUUAAAAAUAUUUAUUCCUAAUCUUUUAUACAGGAAAUAUAAUCGAUGUGAAAAUGAUAGAGUUGGGAAAGAACAUGGUUAAACAUUGUGCAGGGUUGCCAUUAGCCAUUGUUGUAUUGGGAGGAAUUUUGGCUACAAAGAAAAAUUCGUUAAUCGAAUGGCAAAAGAUAUCUGACAAUGUAAAAUCAUACUUGAAGAGAGGCAAAAAUCAAGGACCAGAGGAUGUGUUAGCAUUAAGUUAUGAUGAUUUGCCUCCCUAUCUAAGACCAUGUUUCCUCUAUCUAAGCCAUUUUCCGGAGGAUUAUAUGAUAGAUGUGGAUAGAUUGAUUCAAUUAUGGGUUGCUGAAGGUAUUGUGUCAUCAAAGGAAGAAGAAAGAGACGGCGGGGAAAUUGCGGAAGAUGUGGCGGAAUCUUAUUUAAUGGAGCUUGUGGAAAGGUGCAUGAUUCAAGUACGAGAAAGAAAUGUGGCAGCCUCAGAGAUCAGAGCGACCUUAAAGGUCAAAACGAUUCAGAUGCAUGAUCUGAUAAGAGAUCUUUGCUUAUCAAAGGCAAAACAAGAGAAAUUUGUCUUCAUUGUUGAUGGAUCGAAUGCAUCUUCAUUAUCUAUGAUUCGGAAGGUUCGUAGGGUUUCUGUGCAUGAGUCUUUUUUCAUACAAUGCAUUAAAAGUCCAAAUAUUCGGUCACUUUUGUUCUUCAAUCAGUUCUUUCCGGAGGAGGCAUUAGAAAAAUCUUUUCCCUUGGAAGUGUUGAACUACGUUAAAAAACAUUGUGACGAUUGUUGUAAUCCACUAUUUUGGAUUCUUCUGAUUUCGGUAGGUUCUACAAGACGUCUUAAAAUUCGGGAAUUUUGGAGAUACAUGUUCAACAACUUCAAAUUGCUGAGAGUCCUAAACUAUGACAAAGGAAGAACGUCAUAUGGUUUUUGGACCGGGUGGGAUUUACCCAGUGAUAUAGGGAAUCUCAUCCAUUUAAGAUUCUUGAGUCUAAAGGAUCUUGUGUUCUUAUGGCCAAAGUUGCAAUCAUCUCUAGGCAACUUAAGGUGCUUGCAAACCUUGGAUUUAAGAGUUAAUUUUCCCGAAAUUCAUGUACCUAAUGUGAUAUGGAGGAUGGAGCAACUAAGACAUUUAUAUCUCCCUUUCGACUGUGAAAGCAGUACUAAGUUGAACUUGGGUACUUUGAGAAAACUCCUAACACUUGUGAACUUCAACACCAAGAAUUGUUAUCUGAAGGAUCUUAUCAACAUGACAAAUCUUAGAGAGUUGGAGAUAAAUUUGCCCUUCAAUAUUGAAAAUUUCAAUGAGUCAGGCGAGAAUCCACCCAUAAUCGGUGGUAAAUAUCUUCAUUCCCUGUUUAUUAUUGCCAUUGGGGAAUCCGGCUCAGAAAUAGAUCCAAGACAUUUGGCCCACCUCCUUUCAAAUUGUACAAGUAUUUGCCAGUUGAGUAUAGCAGCAGAGAUAAGUAAGUUACCAGAGUAUCAAUACUUCUCUUCACAUCUCGCUUACAUACGGUUGAGUUGGUGCAAGUUUGAGGAAGAUCCAAUGCCAACACUAGAGAAGCUGCCUAACUUAAGGAUUCUUGAAUUCAAAUAUACUUUAGAAGGAAAGGAAAUGUUUUGCUCUGCUCAGGGUUUUCCUAAACUUGAGUCUCUAAUCCUUGAACAGCUCGGCAAAUUGGAGGAGUGGAAGGUGGAUGAAGGAGCCAUGCCUUCUCUUCAGCGAUUGGAGAUUAGGGAAUGCGGAAACUUGAAGAUGCUUCCAGAGGGAUUGAGGUUUAUUACAACCCUCAAAGAACUGAAGAUUGAAUCAAUGCCAAAGGCAUUCAAAGAUAGAUUGGAGGAAGGAGGAGAAGAUUUCUACGAAGUCAAACAUGUUCCUUCUAUCAUAUUCCAAAACAUCUUGCGCUAAGAAAUUGAAUGAUAAUUGAGAGGUAAUUUCAUAACCUCUAGUUUAGGAAAUGAUUCCUACUUUCUUUGCUGCUUAUAUAUCUUUCGUUUUUGACAAUGUCUCACCUUCUCACUCCAUUUGUCAUCACACCAAUGAAUAAUUACAUUUAUUAAAAGUCAAAGGAAGUCAGACAUUGAUCUUUUUAGUUUUGCUUUUCAGGUAAAGACGCCAUUUUUUCACCUGCACUGCUAUUCACGGGAUCAAAUCUAGAUUUAAAACUCCUAUUAUAAGUGGCGUGUGAAAGUGUGUUAUAUGGUGAGAUUUGGAAUUAUCUUCUCUCUUGUAUAUAUCUAUGGUUGAUGACAUCAGACUGGUUGACUGUUUGUUGUUUUCUUCAAAUUACAAUAAAACGGUUGCAAGAUAAGGUAUGGGAAGAAUGGGAGGUGUCUGGUUUAGCAAGGUACCAAACCCCUCCGCCAUUUCAAUUUCCUUCAAUCUAAGUUAAUUACACAUUCAUUUUUGUCUUUUAAAACGUAAAAUUGCAGAUAAGGAGACGUCAUUGACCUUUGUUCCGACAUAGCUUUGGUUUGCGGUGACUGUUCCUAUAUUUAUUUGUUGGCUUUGCUUUCUCUUUCCUUUUUCUUUUCCCUACUUAAGGCUGCUUUAGUCUUUCUCUUUUAUUUUUUUAUAUGUACUUAAUGUAAUAUUAGAAGCCAAGGCAGGACCAUGCUUUUCUAUUGUAAAAUUCUUCACUUCGUUGUCUAUGUUCAUUUCUACUCUUCAGUUUACUUUAUAUAAUUGUUUGAUAUAUAUUUGAAUAUGGAGAAUAUAAUCUUUUUAAUAUAUACAUAUUUUAGAAAAAAUUGAAUAUAAGUAUGUUGGACACAUUUCCUAUUUCAACAUAUUUCCUUAUUUUAUGCAAGUCGAUUGGUAUUCAACAUAAUCUUUUCUGUCAUCCUUAACUCAAUAAUCUUUGUUACGAUAUCAUAUCAAGUUUAAUGGUUGCACUUCAUCCCCACACUUCCAAAGCAAAAAGUAGGAAAAAUUAAAUCUUACCAAGUAAUAACACUUCCCAAAUACAUUGUCUUACAAAAAAAAAAAAAAAAGAAAGAAGAUACAAUUUGAAAAUUUUUUUUAAUCAACAUUUGAUGGUUUAGCAAGCUAUGCUUUAUAAUAGGCAAAGGAUUCCAAGAGAAUCAAAGAUUCCAAAAUCGAUAUUUGGAUUCAAGAUUUUGUAUCCCCUUUCUUUGCUUCUUAUAUCUACCAACAAUAUCUUGAUGAUAAUAAACUUAAAAAAAAUAUUCAAGGGAAUUGAAGAUCCUAAAUCUAACUUAAACGGUUGAAAAUUUCACAUCCACUUAAUUAAUUCAAAUGAUAUUUAUUCAAUAAGCUUAAAGUAAAAACUGCAAGAAUCUUCAUUUGUCUUUUAUUCGAAAUGUAAUUGGGAUUCAAUGAAAAUAUUGAACAUAUAAUGUGUGCACAUGGAAAUGUCCAAAUCUUUAAAUAUAGGGUCCACAUGCGAGAAAUCUCUUAACACCCAACGUUAAAGAUUUAUAAAAUUCAAUAUGAGCCUAUUAUUUUCGUUAUAAAACUCAAUAUCUUAUUUGGAUUAGGAUACGAGCGAAUAACAGCUAACUAUUUGUAGUUCAAGGUGUGAUAAAAUCUCAGUAGCUAAGAUAUGAAUGUUGCAAAAUACCAUACAAAAUCACAGCCACAUUUGUUAGUAUGACUAUUUUGGGUAAUCAAAGGAAAAAAAUGUUAGCUGUUGAGCAAACAAGGUGAACAAAUUAGAUAUUCCAAUUACGUUCAAGCACUUGACAAAUCCUUUCUGCAAUGGCUUCAGCACGCAUCCUUAAUUUAAUUUCUUAUCAUACGUUUUUGCAUGUAUCAUAAGAAAUUAAAUUAAGGAUUUUCUACUGCAAACCUACCAUGAAAACAUAAUUUUUAUUAGGAUCAAAGGCAUAGCCCAUCAUGGCAGCAUUAUUGAGUCCAUUUUCAGAGGAAAAUCCUGAAACAUGUUACAGGCAAAUAUUAAGAAAAACAACGCACAAGCAUAAGUAUAAAAAACCUAGCAUGUAAGAAAUCAAUACUUGAAAGGAUUAAAAUCACUGCUAACCUAAGACAUUGAAUCUAGCACCACUAGGAAACAUCCGAAAUGAUACUUGUCUUUCAAUGUUGAGAUACAUAGGUCCAAGUCUGCCAUGUUGCGCCAAACGGGAAUUCAUCAACCUCUUGAGAACCUAAAGGAUGAAAAGUUCCAGUCCAAGUUAUAUAUAUACAGACACACACACAGAUAGACAUGAAGAAAGUGGGUUACUGGUGUAUUAUUUAAGUAAAGAAAAAGUUGAAAUCUUGAACCUCUAAAUAUUGGGUAACAGCUAGUGUUAAAAGUGCAUAAAGUUCUGCUAUUAUCUACAAGAAACAAAGGAGGAAUCACAUACAUUGUUUAUAUUCACUUUUCUUGCUACACAAGCAAGCUGACUCCAUAUACAAAAGCAUAUCUUUUUCUCCGUUUUUAAAUGGUUUUUUUGUUUUUCGGCUGCUUUUUAUAUUAAGAGACAGAGAUUGUGAGACCUCGUCAUCCUCAAGGAGUAAAUGGUCAAGCAUGGAGAUGAUGGGAAGACCAUGAGUCGAUGGUGGUCGAUCCAUGAGUUGAUUAUGAAUAGUUUCAUGUUAUGAAAUAAAAAUGUUAGCUAAAGUUAGUUGAACGCUGUGUUUUAGGGCCGAGGGUUUAAUGAAACUAUAAGUUUUGAUGUUGAAUGAAAACGGUGCGUAUUGAUGGUUUGCUACAACUGCUCGAGGAACAGCCCUAUAACAGACUUUGUAACUGCCAANNNNNNNNNNNNNNNNNNNNNNNNNNNNNNNNNNNNNNNNNNNNNNNNNNNNNNNNNNNNNNNNNNNNNNNNNNNNNNNNNNNNNNNNNNNNNNNNNNNNNNNNNNNNNNNNNNNNNNNNNNNNNNNNNNNNNNNNNNNNNNNNNNNNNNNNNNNNNNNNNNNNNNNNNNNNNNNNNNNNNNNNNNNNNNNNNNNNNNNNNNNNNNNNNNNNNNNNNNNNNNNNNNNNNNNNNNNNNNNNNNNNNNNNNNNNNNNNNNNNNNNNNNNNNNNNNNNNNNNNNNNNNNNNNNNNNNNNNNNNNNNNNNNNNNNNNNNNNNNNNNNNNNNNNNNNNNNNNNNNNNNNNNNNNNNNNNNNNNNNNNNNNNNNNNNNNNNNNNNNNNNNNNNNNNNNNNNNNNNNNNNNNNNNNNNNNNNNNNNNNNNNNNNNNNNNNNNNNNNNNNNNNNNNNNNNNNNNNNNNNNNNNNNNNNNNNNNNNNNNNNNNNNNNNNNNNNNNNNNNNNNNNNNNNNNNNNNNNNNNNNNNNNNNNNNNNNNNNNNNNNNNNNNNNNNNNNNNNNNNNNNNNNNNNNNNNNNNNNNNNNNNNNNNNNNNNNNNNNNNNNNNNNNNNNNNNNNNNNNNNNNNNNNNNNNNNNNNNNNNNNNNNNNNNNNNNNNNNNNNNNNNNNNNNNNNNNNNNNNNNNNNNNNNNNNNNNNNNNNNNNNNNNNNNNNNNNNNNNNNNNNNNNNNNNNNNNNNNNNNNNNNNNNNNNNNNNNNNNNNNNNNNNNNNNNNNNNNNNNNNNNNNNNNNNNNNNNNNNNNNNNNNNNNNNNNNNNNNNNNNNNNNNNNNNNNNNNNNNNNNNNNNNNNNNNNNNNNNNNNUUUCGGAACAAAACCAUGCCGUACCAUUUGUUUCAAAGCCCAAUCAACUUCCUUUACCAUCUUCCCCUUACAAAAACCAUGAAUCAACUUCUUGUAUGAAUCAAAACUAGGAUUAACCCUCUCGAAAGCCACAUUUGUUAGUAUGACUAUUUUGGGUAACCAAAGGAAAAAAAAAUGUUAGCUGUUGAGCAAACAAGGUGAACAAAUUAGAUAUUCCAAUUACGUUCAAGCACUUGACAAAUCCUUUCUGCAAUGGCUUCAGCACACAUCCUAGGACCUUCAUCAUCUGCAAAAACCGACCAUUUCUAACAACUAAGCUAACAUCACACAUGAUAAUAUAUGUAUAUAACAUAUAUAGAAGAUGAGUAUGUGGAUUAAAAGCUAUGUUAGUUUGACUCAAUACAUGACCAUGGGACAUGCACGAUUCUUCAAUAAUGAUACGAAAAUAAUUGGAAGAAAAAUUAAAUACAUCAAUAUCUAACAUUUACAUCUGAGUAUGUUUAAUGGUACUCUUUCUUUAGCCAAAUUUUGGCUUCUUUUAGUAGCUAUUCUGACCCAUUUUUCUUUGACCAAAAUGCCCUUGAACAUGUCUUUUUAUUGGGGUUUUAGUUGGACAAGGACUACCCCUGAUGUCAUUUUUGGUCCCCUCACGACAAUAUUGCAAUAACCAACACAGGGUAUCGUGAUAUCGUGGACUGUCUCAAAUGAGGGUCUUCUUUGGUAGCUGGGUAUCACAAUACCUAAGGGGGAUAUCAUGAUACCACUAUAGGUGGUCUUCAUUUCAAGCUUGUGGGAGGUAUCGCUAUGUCCAUGUUGUGAUGUCGUGAUACCCCUUUCCUUAUGUUUUUGCACAAUUUCGGGUCACCGUCAAGUUCCUACAACACUUAAUUGAUCGUUAGGGUCCAAAUGGCACAUUUAUCAAUUUGAGUCUCAAAAUGAGCACAAAACACAUUAAACAUUUAUUAAAUCAAAAAUAAAAAUCUACGCUAAACUACGGAAAAACACUAAUUUGCUUGAAAACAAGCUCUUUAAGUAUAAUGAGGAACCCUAAAUUGACAUAUCAAAUUAUUGUAACUUAGUUGUCUUUUUGAUUCGAACCCACAACCUGAGUUGUUGAGUUGAUCACCCAAUGUCACUAGGCGAAGAGUUUGGGUUCUAUGUACUAACUUGAAGUUGAGGCAUAUUAUAAAGAAGAUUUCAAUUUGACAUGUUUAAUUUUUUUAAUUUAACUCGAAUAAAUUUAUUUAACUCGACUUAAAUUUUAUUUUACUCAACUUGAUUAAAAAAAUUUCAAAUCAAGUUAAGAUGAUAAAAUAGGAUUCAUGAACUUGAUGUAGUCGAAAUUUUUUUUACUAGAUUCGAUCAAACGCUCAACCUGUUAGGUGAGAUGAUGUUUAGGGAUUUGAUUUGUAAAAUCAUUUUUUUCUCAAUCAUUCCUCAUAAUAUAGAAAAUAAUAAGUUAAGUUAUGCCAUUAGUCCUUGUACUUUACAAAAAGUUGUGGAUAUAAUCUAUAUACUUUAGUUUGGUCAUUUUUAAUAAAUGUACUUUUCAAAUUUGAAAAUUUCAAUCCUCACCAAACGAUAACUGUUAAAUUCAUUAAGUUAAGCUUUGUUAUUUUCAAAAUAUUACAUGACAAACAAAUUAUUAUAUGUGUAAUGCCAUGUCAACUUGUUAUUUUGACAUAUUACUCACCAAAAUUUCACUUAAUGGAUUAACGACUUUCAUUCAUGUGGAGACUAAAAUUUCAAAAUUCAAAAGUAGAGGGACUUAAAAUGAUCUAAUUGGAGAAAAUAGACUAAAUCUAUAACUAUACUCAUAGUAUAAGACUAGUAAUUGAAUUUAUCCAAAUAAAUUUAAUUGCUACAGUUUGGGUUAAAACUAAAAUUUCAAAAUUAAAAAAAAAUACAGAAAUUGAAGUUGACAAAUUCAAAAAAAUAUACAUAUUAAAAUUGAUCAAAUUAAAAGUAAACUGACUAACCUUAAUUUUUCUGAUAAUCUUUCUUUUCCCUUAAUUAAAUGACCAUGAUGUAUACUAUAUAUCUUAGUAUAUAAAUAUUUUAAAAAUAAAUAAAUAUAUGUAUGUUGGACACAUAUUCAAGUUUGAUAUUCGUCUUAAAUAUAUGUAUGUUGGACACGUAAUCUUUUUCAUUGUUUAAUAUCCUAAUCCUUAAUUAAUUUAAUAAUAUUUGUUACGAUAGGGUCUAAUGGCUGCAAUUUAUCUUGACACUUUCGAAGCAAAAAAUAAAAAAUAAAAAAAUCAAAUUUCACCGAUUAAUUACAUGCCAACACAUAUAACCCACGAUAUGUUUAUCUCAAAGAUUUAAAUAAGAUAAACUAAAUCACAAAGAAAACAAACGAGUAAACAUAAUCUAGAAAUUCCAAAUUUACAUUAUCUAACAGAAAUUCAAUAAGAAAUAAAAGGUUGCAUUUCAUUCUUUAGGGAUUUGCUCUUAUAUCUUCCAACAAUAGCUUGAUGAUAAUAAGCUGAAAAAGAAAAGGAGUCCAAGGGAAUUGAAGAUUCUUAAUUCAGCUAGCUUAAUUGAUUGAAUACUUCAAAUACACUUAAUUAAUACCAAUGAUAUUUAUCAAUAAAUCUAAAAUUUGCAUCCUACUUUGUAAAAACUGCCAGAAUGAAAUCAAAUUAUCUGAUUUCAAUUCUCUUCAAAUUUUAGUUUACAACUUCUAUUUUUGGGUUUCCAUUUGUUUCAACUUUUAAAGCAAGCAUUGAUUCAAGAAAUAUUUAUUUCAUUUGACUUAUUUGCUUUUCUAAUUUUAUGUUAUUCAGAUUCGAUGAAAAUAUUGAACAUAAUAUGUGUGCAAGUCAAGAUGUCCGAGUCUUACAAUGUAAGGUUGAAACGGGAGAAAUAUCCUAAAAGCUGAUGCUAAAAGAUUUAUAAAAUUCAGUAUAAUCAUUUUGUUUUCAUUAUAAAACUCAAUGUUAAAAUGUCUAUGAUUCGAGAUUAUGAUACAAGAGAAAAAUAGCUAACUAUUUUAAGUUCAAGGUGUGAGAAAAUCUCAAUAGCUAAGAUAUGAAUGUUGUAAAAUACCACUCAAUCACACAGAAAUAUAUACACACAGAAAUACCACUCAAUCACAGCCACAUUUGUUAGUAUGACUACUUUGGAUGAAAAGUUCUAUUCCAAGUUAUAUAUACACACAGAAAUACACAUGAAGUGGAUUAAUGGUGUAUUAUUUAAGUAAAGAAAAAGGGUUCUAACUAGAAGAAAGAGUUGAAAUCUUGAACCUCUAACUAUUGGGUAACCGCUGGUGUUAAAAAGUACAUAAAGGUCCGCGCUUAUCUACAAAAAAACAAUGGAGGAAUCACGUUCAUUGUUUAUAUUCAUUUUUUUUGCUCCACAAGCAAUCCAAAACCAUAAACAAAGGAAUACUUUUUUUCGCCUUUUUAAAUGGUUUUCUUGUUUCUUUUUCGCUUUUUAAAUUCUUCAUUCAAUUCAAGUUCAAGAAACCAUACUAAAUAUAUAUAUUUAUAUUUAUAUUCACUUUUCUUGCUACACAAGCAAGCCAAAAUCAUAAACAAAGGCACGCUUUUUUUUUCCCUUUUUUUAAUGAUUUUCUUGAUUCUUUGUUGUUUUUAAAAUUCUUCAUUCAAUUCAAGUUCAAUAAACCAUAUUAAAUAUAUAUAUUUAUAUUCACUUUUUUUUGCUACACAAGCAAGCUGAAACCAUAAACAAAGGCAUACAUUUUUCUCCUUUUUUAAAUGGCUUUCUUGUUUCUUUGUUGUUGUUUUUAAUUCUUUGCUCAAUUCAAGUUCAAGAAUCCAUACUAAAUAUAUGUGUUUAUAUUCACUUUUCUUGCUACAUAAGUAAGCUGAAACCAUAAACAAAGGCAUACUUGUUUUCCUUUCUUACCGUUGCUACCUUUUAGAUUCUUUAUUCAAUUCAAGUUCAAGAAAUCAUACUAUAUAUAUAUAUUCACUUUUCUUGCUACACAAGUCAACCGAAACCAUAAACAAAGGCAUAACUUUUUCGCUUUUUUUUAAAAUGAAUUUUUCUUUGCUGCUUUUUAAAAUUUUUAUUCAAUUUAAAUUCAAAAAACCCUACUAAAUAUAUAUAUAUAUAUAUAUAUAUAUAUAUAUAUUAAGAGAGAGACCUCAUCAUCCUCAAGCUUGAUGGGAAGGCCACAAGUCGGUGGUCGUCAAAUCAUGAGUUGAUUAUGAGUAGUUUCAUGUUAUGGAAAAAAGAUGUUAGUUAAAAUUAGUUAGUUGAGAGUUUAAUGAAACGAUACGUUUUGAUGUUUAAUGAAAACGGUGCGUAUUGAAAGUUUGAUACAACUAGUCGAGUAACAAGCCUUUAACAAACUUUGUAACUACCAAUUCUGAAGCCUUACAGGAACUGCCAACUUUUGAUUUUGUUUGUAAUCCUCGCUUUAAAAAAAUAUUCCAAAUAUGCUUCCUCACCUUAUCAUUUUUGUUAUUUUUCAAGUGCCCUUACCAUUCUAUAUUUUCAAUGGUUAAAUUGUAAAAAUGGUUACCUAAUUAUUGCUUUCGUUCUAUUUUAAUCACUAAAUCGAUUUAGUUAUUAAAAUUUUCGAAAUUAAAUAUUUUAAUCACUCUCAGUUAUCUUUAGAUGAGUGAUAGGAAGUUAAUGUGAGCUGUUUUUAUUGGUCUAAUAACAAAUUUAAUCAUCUAAUGUUUACACAUUCUAUUAAUUUAAUUUUAAAUAUAAAAUGUUCAACAGAUUUAACCCUAAAUAUUUACAAAAUCUAUUGUUAUAGUUCGAAUCCUAAAAAUUUCAAUAAGUUUAGUCCUCAAAAUUUGUAAAUUUAAUUUUAAUUCCAAAAAUUUUAGAAAAAGGAAAGAUGUAUUUUAUGUUAUAUAAAAGAAAAUCUAGCUCCAUCCAACAUUUUAAAUUCUUUUCUUUUUUCUUCACAUUUUCAUGGCAACGAAAAAACCAACUCAUGGAUGAAUUAAGCAAAUUAAUUAAAAUCAAAUAAAUCGAACAAGGAUUUUAAUUAAAAAGAAAUUCUUCACAUGCAUCAAGGAGGGACUUCCUCUGGUGGUAUCAAGGGGAUUGAUAGAAACAGCUCAGGCUCGAACAAGAACUUCAUUGGGCUUAAGAUCAGGAACAGACACAUCGGACCAAAGCUGCAACACCUCAGGUCCUCCGAACCGAGGCAGCAAUACCGCACUGUAACUGUUGACAUAGCACCGAAUUGAACCCACUUUCAACGAUAACUCCAUAAAGGGUUUAGGUUUUAAGCUUUGAAGUUCCCUUUUUUCUACUCAAAUUUACUGAAUUUCAGCUCCUUCCUUUUGUUAAAUGAAGGAAAAGCAGAGGAGAGACACGGAAGUGUUUUAAUCCACAUAGAAAAAAGUGAUUGUGUGACUUGUGAGUGGGGGCCUAUGGGGCGUGGAAGAAGAAGAUGAACAUUGCAUAAUCAAUUUUUAAUUGCUUAUUACAUUCAUAAUUUAAUAAAUAAAAAUUUCUAACCUUAUCUAUUAAAUCAAGUUAGAAUGUUCAACUUAAUUUUUGUUUGUUAUAAGUAUCACAUAUUAUAAAAAUUAAUUAUAUUUUAAUAAUUAUAUAAUAUUGAUUGAGUUAUUAUUUUUAAUUAUAUCAUCUGAUACCAUCUUGAGGACUAAAUUUAGAAUUAGAACUAAAUUGACAAAUUUCUGAAAUUUUGAGAUUAAAUUUAUUUUUAUUUUUAAGAAUUUGAACUAAAAUGAGAAAUUUUGUAAAUAUUGAGGAUUAAAUUUGUUGGAAAUUUUAUAUUUAGAAUCAAAUGGAUAGAAUGUCUAAACAUUAGGGGCCUAAAUUUGUUAUUAGACCAAUAAAAACAAGUUUAUACCAAUUUCCUGUAGCUCAUUAAUUGCAACUAACGAGGAAAUGAUUAAAAUAUUUAAUUUCUAAAAAUUUAAUGACUAAAUAAAAAAAUUAAUAUUUAAGUGAUCAAAAUAGAAUGAAAUCAAUAAUUUGAUGACCAUUUUUGUACUGUACCCUAUCUUAAUCCAUCUCACAACCAAAUUUCUCCGUCUUUGCCUAAUUUCUCGUCAUUGUCAAAUUUUAAUAGAAUUAACAUUUUUAUUUAAAAAAUAUCUUUAAUCAUUUAAUAUAUUUUUAAUAACUAAAUGUUAAUUCCAUUAAGAGUCAGUUUAUUUACAUGUAAAAAGUUAUAUAAUAUGAGUCUAUUGAACCGAUUCAAUCAUAAAUUUUAUUAUUAUUGGUUUAUAUAAUGGUUUGAUUUUGAAAAUAUUUGGUUUAACAUUUAGUCAUCCCUUUGAUCAAUUUUAAAUUUUAGAAAUAAUUUUGUUUUUUGUUUACAUUUAAAUGUACAGUUUCUAAUGCAUAUGUGUUACAUUUGAUUUCAAGCCAUUAAUCCUUAAUUACUUUUUAAAAUAAUAGUUCUCUUAGUUUUUAAAUAAUGUAUAAAUUUAUAAUUAUAUAAGAAAGUAAACUAUAAUAUUAAUUUUUAAAAAAUUAAGUAAAACAGAAGGCAAUAAUUUUUAUAAUAAUUAAUGAUAAAUAUGAAAAAUAUUCACAAUUAUAAAACAAACCGUUUAAGAGUAUAUAAACUACUUAUACAAAAUUUUUUUAAAUUAAAGAUGAAAAUAUAUAUAUAUAUAAAUAUACAUAAUUUAUAAGUGAAAAAUAUACAUAAUUUUAUUCAUAAAAAAUACAUAUGAUAAUAUACAGACAAGGUUAUAAAGUAAUUCAUAGGAAUAUAGCUUUCUUGUUUGUAUUCUCAUUCGGUUAUGAAUAUAGCUUUCUUGUUAGUAUUCUCAUUCUAUUUUGAACAUACCUUUCUUGCUUGUUUUCUCAUUCUAUUAUGAAUAUACCUUUCUUGUUCGUAUUCUCGUUCUAUUGAUGAUUAAUGUUGCUUUAUAAUUGUUUAUAAAUUUAAUAGAACUAUAUAUUACUACUAAAAGUAUAAAAGGGCAAUGAUUUGCAAUUGCUUUUAUAAUUAAGUACUGCUUCUUGCAAUUGUUUUCCCAGCAAGAUUGAAAUCCAAAUUCAAGAUUUUAAAGAAUUUUCUGAGCUCGAUCACUAUUAUGGCUUUGUCUGCUGUGACAUCUGCAGUGACAACAAUCGGCAACCUGCUAACUGAGGAAGCCAUAUUCCUAUGGGGCGUCGAGGAGCAAGUUGAUCGUCUGCAAACAGAGCUCAAAUGGAUGCAAAGAUACUUAAUGGACGCAGAGACAAAACAAUCAAAGGAUGAGAUGAUUCGUCUUUGGGUUGCUGACAUCAGAGAGCUUGCUUAUGAUGCCGAGGAUGUUGUCGAGGAAUUUGCUCUCAAGAUUGGACCCAAAAACAAAGGAGGUCUUGCGAGUUGUAUUAAAAGAUCAGCCUGCUGUUUGAAAGAGGGAUGGGUGCUCCAUGAAACCAGGUCAAAGAUUGAGAAAAUCAUAGAAAGAAUCAACGACUUGGUCCGACGACUACAGGCCUACGGCGUAAAGGAAUUAAAGGACAGAGGAGAAGAAUCAAGUUCUUCAACUGAAAGACGAGAAUCAAGGCGGCCUUAUCCACAUAUUAUGGAUGAUAAUAUUGUAGGACUAGUUGAUGAUACCGAGGGAUUGGUCAAAGUUCU
Molecule: long non-coding RNA, 80958 nt
Filed under: Gossypium raimondii (Peruvian cotton)
Lineage: Eukaryota; Viridiplantae; Streptophyta; Magnoliopsida; Malvales; Malvaceae
Description: long non-coding RNA (GRAI_LNC005927)
Source: RNAcentral